RNAcentral lists this long non-coding RNA (75112 nucleotides) under Musa acuminata (dwarf banana). Its description in RNAcentral is "long non-coding RNA (MACU_LNC007474)". The record is from RNAcentral. Lineage: Eukaryota; Viridiplantae; Streptophyta; Magnoliopsida; Zingiberales; Musaceae.
CAAGAGCGAUUCCACUCCAACAGGUAAUUCAGAAACUUACUUGAGAACUGGACCUGGCUAUGAUACUGCUAGUUUGGGCAAGAACGUAACUUUCAACAAAUCAUUCCACUCAAGAGUACGGGUACUACUCUAUAUGCCCUUCUUUAUCUUCUCUUUUCUUUCCUCUCCGAUAUAACUCUAUUAACUAUUAAGAUACAGGGGAAAGGUCUUCAACUAGCAAAUCCACUACUCAAAAGGCAAAUAAGGUCAAUUGCUUACUUUUGAACUGCAAUACCGGAUUGAUAGUAUAGUCCUCUCCUUGCGCUAACAAACACGGAUACGGAUUCCACGGAGAUUCCACUCUAACCUCUCUCUACUGGGCCAAGUCACUCUGCACUCUACCUAUGAAAUUAGUAACAGCGUUCUUCUAUACCUCUGGCAACUGCUACAAAUGCCCUGAACCCGAACUAACUAUCACUCGAACAGGCACAGGAGAAGGUAGAAAACAAAAGAAUCAAACCGUAUACUAGCAACCCUGCGGAAAAGCCUCGCAUAGAUGACUUGGACAACUACUAUAAAGGGGCUGGAAACGAGCCUUUUGUACUGUACUAGAUCUUACUAGUUAGGCUAGGGUUGUUUGUGAAGAAGCACUACUAGGUUUGCGAGGGAGAGGUCAAUUGAGCAUCAACCCGGAACUACUAUAUGACUUUCUAGUUUCAUUGGAAGGGAAGGUAUAAAACAGAGGAUAAGAAUUCAUUUAGUAGGGAAGGGACUGCUUAGUCAGAUAAAGAGCCAAGCAACUACGUUAUUAGUAUACAAAGGCAAAGAACCAAGCAACGUACAAUAGGCAAGCUACCUCAUUUCCUACUCAAUGAAGCGUACAAUAGGCAAGCUACCUCAUUUCCUACUCAAUGAAGCAAGUCAGAAUGAAGUAAGGGGGCACAUCGGUAACAGUAAUCAAUUCAAAUUCAGGGAAAUCAUAUAGUACAGGCUUUGUUGCCAGAAGUACCAGAAGUUGUAGAGUAUCUUAAAGCAAGGGCAAGGGGCAAAGCAACUAAAGGGAGUGAAUUAGUAUGUAUGUUAAAUACCAGAGAGGAGGUGGGCAAGUGGAGCAGCUAGGCUUUACUGGUUAAUCGCAGUGGUGGUCGAAUCGAACAAUUCUGAAAAUACGAAGAACUUUAUUACUUGCUAUAGUAGCAAACACAGAUGAAACUAGGGACUCGACAAGACACAACUACUUAUACUACUAGUUGGGCCCUACUUAUACUACCAACCUGGGGUUUGGGGUUCUCUAAAGAAAGAUCAAUAAUGAAUGCAGGUAGUCCUUCUCUUGCACUUAAGUAAGUGGCUGUAAAUAAAUGAGUUUUGUGGGGGUGCCGCGCCUAGCAUAGUAUGAGUGCCUAGCCGGAGGAGAGGGAGAUGAGAGUCUUGUUCAAGUUCUUGUUCGAUAGGACCUAGUUGUUGGUGGAGAAGAAAACCACUUGCCUUACUUCUGGAUUUGAUUCCUUGUGCUUAGGGAGGUAGUAACAAAGCUUAAAGUGUUGAAAGCUCUUUACUGAUCUGUUUGCUGAACGUGUUUCCGACUCGCUUAGAGUUCCUACUAACACAACCGCAAGAGAAAGAAAGCAAAAAGCAGGAAUUUGGACUCAAAAGGAUUUCUUCUUAUUUGUUUAAUCGAGACUUAUUUGUUUUAUCGAGACGUCUAAUAAACCCUAGCUCGCAUUAGCACGACAUCUUAUUGCAACUGUGUAAAGAGCUACCCUAUCUUAUAAUGGGCAUAUUGCAAUUGCAUCCUUCUCGUAUUACCUAAAUUUCCAUUUCAACUGAAAACUCCAUAAGCGCUUAAUCGAGAUGAGAUCGUAUAGACUAAAGGAAAUACCAACCAUCCCUUGAUACUAUACCCAUGGAACUUAAGGGAACACGGAACUCCUCUACGUAAGUGCGCUUCAGCUUCAUAAGACGUAAGGGCUGGAAAAUAAGGAUAUAAGGCUUUCACUUAUGGCCAAGCAACAACUAAGAUGUUAGGUUUUCAUCCGUAACACGUGGGAUGGGCUAUAAAUCCCGUAAUAAGAAUCUCAAUAAGCUAGAGCUUAUCUGCUUAUGUCUUAUCAAUCAAUCUACUUCUAGGCUGUAGAAAUGAAUUGACGCCUCACAUCUUUGGCGCUGUCACCGACCUUGCGUAAGCUGCUAGUGGUUCUCCUGAUAUGGCUUAAACGAUGAGAACUCUACUUUCUUUNNNNNNNNNNNNNNNNNNNNNNNNNNNNNNNNNNNNNNNNNNNNNNNNNNNNNNNNNNNNNNNNNNNNNNNNNNNNNNNNNNNNNNNNNNNNNNNNNNNNNNNNNNNNNNNNNNNNNNNNNNNNNNNNNNNNNNNNNNNNNNNNNNNNNNNNNNNNNNNNNNNNNNNNNNNNNNNNNNNNNNNNNNNNNNNNNNNNNNNNNNNNNNNNNNNNNNNNNNNNNNNNNNNNNNNNNNNNNNNNNNNNNNNNNNNNNNNNNNNNNNNNNNNNNNNNNNNNNNNNNNNNNNNNNNNNNNNNNNNNNNNNNNNNNNNNNNNNNNNNNNNNNNNNNNNNNNNNNNNNNNNNNNNNNNNNNNNNNNNNNNNNNNNNNNNNNNNNNNNNNNNNNNNNNNNNNNNNNNNNNNNNNNNNNNNNNNNNNNNNNNNNNNNNNNNNNNNNNNNNNNNNNNNNNNNNNNNNNNNNNNNNNNNNNNNNNNNNNNNNNNNNNNNNNNNNNNNNNNNNNNNNNNNNNNNNNNNNNNNNNNNNNNNNNNNNNNNNNNNNNNNNNNNNNNNNNNNNNNNNNNNNNNNNNNNNNNNNNNNNNNNNNNNNNNNNNNNNNNNNNNNNNNNNNNNNNNNNNNNNNNNNNNNNNNNNNNNNNUAUCAAGUGGUAGUCCUGUGUGAGUGAUAGUCAGAACCCCGAGUUGAAGUCUAAGUGAAGUACCAUCCCAUACUAUUUCUCUAUUUGCAACGAAAAAACCCGGGAAAACGUAAAAAAGUCAUUUCAAAGGAUCGGUCCAGGAGGGAAACCAGAGUCGCUAUCAGGCAAGUAACUACUAAUGUUACGCGCCAGCGCUGUUUCCCGGGAAAACGUGAAAUUAUCUAUCUUCUUGAUCGGUCUAGGAGGGAAACCUUGGUCGCUAUCAAAAAACACGGGUUUCGUCCAAAAGAUCAUUUCAAUGGGUCGGUCUAUUAGCUAAAAUCACUUCACUGCCUUUUUUCACGGGAAUUAGUGACGAGUUGAAGACCGAUAGUACUGUUCUGGUUAGAGUUUCAUCCCCAACUAGUGGUGGUCCUGCUCGAGUGUGAGUGGAAUUCUGUAUUUGUAGUGGUUUCUAUCUUUUACUAGGGUCGGGGAGUUUACUGACUUGGAAGAAAAAACAAUCCAAUCACAAAUGAUCAAAUCACAGCCAAGACACUACUAAUGACCAAGCCACUACUAACCAAACAACUAAGCAAGACGGCCGCCAAGCAACUACUAACUCCCAAACACAUAGCUAGUCUAAGGCGCAUCUCAUCUACCUAUGGCAACUUCCAACUAUUCACUUCAUUCGGUAUACCUCUGAUUCUAUACCUCUGGGCUCUUUCAACUAAGUUAUAUCUUUCUUCCCUGGGUUUCUUGCUCCAACUCUUUCUGUCCCAGCUCCAUAAGCGUUGUACUUUCAUUGAAGUAGAGUUAAGCGAGUAAAGGAAGUCUGGAGCGAGAGUGAAAGCAAGCCGGGUAGGUAAACGGUACAACAGUGAAGAGCAGAGCAGUACUAGAGAUGCUCUUAGGCGUCAAUUCAUUGAAACAGCUUUGACUCUGCAUAAAAUGCUGGUCGAGGAAAAGUGAGUUGAAAGCUGGUAAUCCGUAAGAUGUUAUGUUAAUCUAUAAUAUGCUAUUGCACUAAAUGAUAUUCAAACAGAUGAACUUCUGCUUGCUUAUGAUCCUGAUCUCCUUGAUUAACUGCUUUAUGCCUCUGAUCCUGUUCUUGCUUCUGAUCGUUUAAUGGAUUUGGAUUCCGCCCCCGCUUUCCUGGCUAUAAGAGUAGACGACUCUCUGGUCUAUGUUAUAAAGAAAAAACACAACAACUCUACGGUCGAUGUUCUAAAGAAAAACACAUUUGAACUGAGGUUAACCGUAGCUAAUUGCCUACCUAUAGCAUUAGCAUACAUAAUAAUAUCUAAUUGAGAAACUUUCCAGGACAACUUAUGGAACAAGACUGGAAUAACCCAAUUAUUUAGUCGCACCAACAUCCACUACAUGUAAUGAAACAAGCUUAGGUGAGUUCCUGUCUGAAGCUAGCACUUACGCCUUUACCUUUCAUAGACUGACUCCGGACCUUUAAUCUAUCAGCUGGGCACCUACCCUUGGUAUAGGAAUGGAAGAGCAUUGCAGAAAAACAUCAAUUUCUUACUGAUGCACUUGUUUCUUUGGCCUCCUUGCUAACGUUUACUUAAUUUCAUCCACCGAGCACAUAGUCAACCAGUAUGAUUUCGAGCGGUCAGGUCAACUUGCUAAUGCCCAUAAAACAGGAAAAGAUUUAAGCACAUAAAAGUGAGUUAUUCUUCUUGCGGGACGGGAAUGGAAGUCAGUCUAGAAGAUUGCUUGUUGAGCAUUAACCGGUAAGUAAAGAGAGUUUCUCUGAGUUUCAGUAUGAAAGCAGUAAGGAUGUAAGGGAGCAAGCCAACUUAAAGGGCGAAGUGUGGGAGACCCAGCCGACAAGCUACGACUACAAAAGCACAGAAAGUCGGCAAGCAACGACAGUCCGGUUAUUACAAUUCCUGUCUUCGGCAGACAAGUAUACAAGCAAGCAACAGUAGGAGUGAUUAGUUCUUGUGCUCGUUAAGUCAAGUAGUCCAGUUUUCUAGAGUAUGAUUUCGUUCCCGCUCCGUCAAGAACAUCUCCAUACCGACAAAGCCCCAAUCAAUCACUUGAACAGAAAAGAAAGAGAAGAAGGACAUUCUCCACUGGGUUAUCCGACCUAAACUCCACUAUCUUCCACUUAUGAUCCUUAUCUAGUUUAUUAUGUUGGGCCUGGACUUUUAGUGGUAGCUUGUCUCUUUCUAUGCUUUUGUAUACUACUACGUUGCUUGGCUGUAUAGGAUAAGAGGUAUUUUCGCUUUGUUGUUGGUUCUUCAAGACUCAUGGAACUCAUCACUCUUACCUCUGAUCGAGGGCUCUUCUUUUCUCCUCAAGAUCGUGUUUGAAUCAUCCACUCACGUCUGAUAAAGCCAUUGAUUGGAGUUGAUUUGACUAGCAUUUCCUUCAUGAACUGGUUCUUUCUUUCAUUCAUGUGGUCUUAUUCAUUUCUUUGGCUCUUAGCACCUUCCUUCUACUUGUUGCAUGAUUUCUUUUUGCAUUACCAAAUUGAUUGGAUUUCCUCUUCUUUUCUUCGCUCUUCUUCUUUUUGUAAAAAUAGCUUGAUCGUAUGGAUGCCUCUUCAUGGAUCACAGGCGCUCUCUCUCCCCAUGGACUUUCCCCUCUGAAAGACGGAGUUAGUCUCUUCAAGAGCACAUAGCUAAUACGCUGACUGGAGUCUCGGGGUGCUGAGUGAUUAAAGCGAAAAGUAAGCUGGUAGAGCGGAGCCUGCAGCCAUAGGUGUAAGGUUACAAUUCUUUCUGUCUUAUGAGACCCCUAAGGCGACUAUACCUCUCAAGCGACUAUAACUCUUGCUACUCUCUGCUCCCUAUCUGCUUUCUUUGCCUUUGUCCAACUAGUCUUAUACUUAUACUUGUCUUAUGAGACCCCUCGGAUCAUCUACUUACCUAUGGAAACUAUGAACUGAAUGAGGUAUACCUCUCCUAUGCCUCUGUCCUUUCUCGAUACCUAUGUAGUGAGUCCUAUGCCUCUGUCCUUUAUGAUAUUAAAGUCGGGUACCUGGUAGUAGUAGCACUGUUCGAGUGAGCAUCCUUUUUUUCUGACUUGCGGAACCCACUAAGAUGUUUGGUUCAAAUGCAUUCGUUGGCAAGUUGAUGAGUUUCCAUGAUAGAUUUCCCAUCAAACUACAGAAGUUAUGUUUUAGUUAAUUUGACACCCAUAUCUUGCUGGUUCAAGGCAACUCUCUGGUAGUACAGGAUGUUUAGUUAAUAAGUUCCUCUGCUCUGGGCUCGGUUCCAAAGGGUUAACCUGUGUUCGAGCGGCAGUCUAACGCAUUUAAGUUGUGGUUUCAUAUCUAUCGCUCCUAGCAUUUCUAUUUCCUGCCUUGUAUGAUAGAAUCUGGUAACCCGCCUGGUAGGUGGCUCCUUAUCUAAAGUGAGAAUGAAAGUGAACCAGAGGGGUCUCGUUGCUUGUCUAGUAGUUCCUUGGCUGAUAGCAAAGUGAGUGGAGUGGUAAAGUGUAAUCUGUAUGAGUUUACUACCCCAACUCAGUUUAGUCAAACUCUUAUCUUAGUUCCAGAAGGUAUGCCGUGAAGCAAGUAGCCAGCUCCUUUUCUUGUUCUUGAUGAGACUGUUCGAGAUCUAACCCUAUUCCUAGUCUUAUUAGAAGAAGACAGUAAGCGCGGGAAGGAAUGUGCGGGUAAUUAACUAUGAAAUUACUCAGUGGUUGCCUGCCCCUAUUGAUUACCCAGGACAGGCGACGAAGCGGACUCCAUAACAUCAGUAGUAGCGAGUGUCUUUCUAAACAUUAUCCUUAAUAAGAGAAGAAUUAAUUGAUAGUGAUUUCUUAUACAUAGCAGUCCGGGUAGUCCACUUCACUUGCAGAACCGAUUGCUCCUUAUAAUUGAACUGACGCCUUAGCACUUAGUCUAGUUGGGGCUGGAAACAAACUACUAGUGGGUGUUGGAAACGUAGUAAACAAGUAUCUUUCUGAGCCGUAUCUUUAUUAGGGUUGAAAAUGAACUAGAGCAGUUUAGCUCCCUACCACAGUAUAUGCUUGUCGUCUUGAUUUACCUUGUAUAUAAGAGAGUCAACCGGUAUUAAUGGCGGCAGGGAGUUCUUUAGCAAAGGCAAAGAAAGAAAGUGAAGAAAGAGUCAAAAGAGCAUAUAAGUUGAAGUCUAAGUGAAAAGAGCAUAUAAGUUGAAGUCUAGGUAAAGUAUCAAGUGUGGUUCAAUUGUCUAGGAAAAGUUGUACUUAAUUGUAUUGUCUAGGUUCGUAGCUAGGCAAAGAAAGGAAAGGGUUAGUUAGGUCUACGAGAUCAGAGGAAAGAUAAGAGGAGAGGUGGGUUCGGUUCAAUGAGCGGCCCCAAAAACAGGAAUGCCGAGCAGUAGUGCUAGGUUUAAAGCAAGGGUAGGCAGCUUCAGGUGCAGUAAAGGAAGUCCCUCUCUCUUUGCAGGCUUAGAAGUGUUCGGUAAGGCGGCAGCCUUUUCAGUAGUAUUUAGAGUCUAAUCGUUACUAGUGGAUUUCUUGUCCCACUCUAUCAAUCUUGUCAGUACCAGUUCACAAUCCUAUAUUAUAAGAGAAAGCAUUAGAACCAGCAGUUACGGAAUGAAAGUCCGCAGUGUAAGAGGGGAGUUCGGUAAGUCCGUUUCGUAAUGAUAUACAGUAAAGCGAGGUUCGGAGUAAUUAGUUGCAGAAGAAAAGUAAGCCAAGGUAGACCAAUAGGCAUUAGUAGCAGUCUCAUCCUUUGUAGUUUACUUAAUGGUAGGUGGUAGCAAUAUACUUCUAUGGAGUAGAUAUAGAUUGAGAUAAAGCAGUGUCGAGCUAAGAAGCUCUAAAGCCAGACUCCGAGCAAGGAUAGGUGGAUUCUCACUAGGGUAUAGGACUAGUUAGGCAGGGAGCUCGGGUGCAGUGAGUCAUACUUCUCGUUUGGUGGAGAAGUCGCCAGUAUUGUAGUUAGUCGUUGGGGAAUGAGAGCUGGAAACCCAGUGAAUUAUUAUGCUCGGGAUUUGUCUUGUUACUGCCGGUUUGAUUUCUUCAAUUGCUUUCUUUGAUUCUAGAGCUAUUUGUAUGAGUUUACUUAGAAAGCCGACUUCUUUGUUUUAUUCCGAUACUAAUACAGUAGAGCAGGAACCCCACCCUAAUUCAAUAGGGAAGUAUACAAGACCUAGAUAAGGGAGUGGAAGGGGCAAGUACAAAUACAUGUUCUAACUCACCAAGCAACUAGUAUAAGACAAAGAAAUGAACUAAGUAGUCAAGGAAUCAAACAAGCCCCAAGCCGGGAGUGCUAGUUUCAAGUAAGAAUUCAGGGAGAAAGGUAGAAAACGAACUGGAGUUGUUAGUUUCAAGAGCUUAAGAGGUAUAUCCUGAGGUAGAUUAGACUGCUCGAGGUCUCAAGUUUCAAGUGUUGUUCUUUCCCCCCCAAGUAGUGGUCCAAGGAGAGUUUCUUUUGGUGCGAGAGAGGUUCGAUCUCUUGUGUCGGUGAACAAGUCAGCAGCAAUUCCAGUAGACAUCGACAGCAGAAGAAGAAUAAAGUACUGUCAAAAAGGCUUUGAAGCGCUAUAAGUCAAUAAGUAUAGUCACCUUGUUAGCGAGGCGGUCAAUUAUAGUGCCUCGACUUGAAGUGUAGUUGCUCGUCUGGAUGAAACUCAAACGGGACCAGGACCUGGACUUAUAGUAUUAGCUUGUCUUGUAUAUUAGUUACUUGGCGUCUGCUUGUCUGCAGCUGACCUUACUUAGGGGUUACUAAAACAAUGGUACUCGCACCUUACCUUCCACUUCCAACAAAUAGAAAUUGGAGUGAACCUCCACAAGCAACAGACAGAUAUGAAACUUAAGCUAGAAGAUAUCGCGCUUCAGAGGAUAUUUCUUCUUUUCUUUUGCCCACCUAUCCUGGAAGUUCCUUUCAGUUUGCAGCUGACUUGUUUUGUUCAACAGAACUACUUGCUAUUUCUUCUCCGGAUCUUGAAACUGCUGUUCCUAAGCUUGCGGAUUGUGAUCUACCAGUUGCAUCUUAUUGAGUCGACUUCACGGAUUACUUUAGCAUAGCAUCUUAUCUCGUUGACAAAAAGUAACUUAACCUUGUAGUGGGCAUUCGUUCUUAAAGAGAUUCUAUUCGGCUUAUACAUAGGAGACUAAUGGACUUAGCGCGCAGAACUAUACAACCUUAUCCCUUAUUGCCGCUUACUUGGAAACUGCUUCUGUUCCUUCUAUAACUGUUGGUGCUAUUGCUUCCAUAGAGGUCAGAGGUAGAUUAGAGGAGCCUAGCCUAAUGAAGUGAAGUGCUAUCCUAUAAUCUUAUAUGAAUUCCAAUUCUUAUCUUUAAGGAGGGAAGGGAGCCUACGGGUUGGCAAGAAAGAGGGAAAUAAAGUCUAGUUUGAAAGUAAAGUCCUUUGUUCACCGAUGUGAAUAACAAGUACAUAUUUCGGAAUCCAUCUUUGUGGCUACGAGAGCGAGAGAGAAACUAAUGAGUGAGAGCAAGUCUAUCAAGAGCCAGAAAUAGCAAAGACCCUAAUACACUCUUACAACUCAGUAAAGGCGGUUUUCGAAGACUUGAGGGCAGCACUCAGGGAGAAGGGAGCAGGACUGCAUGAAAGGUUUUUAACAUACUUACAGGAGAGAGAGUGGCCAGAAGAAUACACCCUCCAGCAGUUAAAGGAAAAGUACUUUCUACUGGAAUAGUUUGAUGCGAGGGUAGUUGUUGCAUUCUAUUACUACUUAGUGAAAUUCUGUAAUUCGACACCAUGAGUUGGCGAACACAGGACUUGAAGACGAAACUCGGUAUUCCACUCACUACUCCUCUGUCAACUAAGUAAAAGUCAGUAAACCAGCCUAGCCUAACAAGCUAGUCAGUCAGUCUUCCCCGACCUCGCCUCUGGCUCUAGCACUAACUGACUUAUAUAAUAGAACGGAUGAAACUCCCCGAACUUCCCCGAAACUUAUUAUAGAGGCUUCUAACUUUCCUACUUGCUUGUUAGUUUCAUUCUGUAUUUGACUAUGGGGAGCAGCUUCUCUAAUACCUAGGCUUGGAGGGGAACUCUCUUCUUUCACUUUCAUUAAGUAAACUCUCUUCUACAACUCUAUUCUGUAGUUAAGUAGAGGACCAGAGUCGCGGUAAGUCUAGACUACACUAUACUUGUUGGGGCAAUCACUACAUUUGAAUAACAGACCUCCACUCAAGCUUGCAACAAAGCCUUGACUUUCUGAUUCCUCGGUAUCCGUAUCCCUCUGGCGGAUUAUAAUAAGGCACUCGGGAUGAAACAAGUGGCUACUUAACCGACACAAGAACGGAAAGAGACUUGACUUUAACCUCGCUUCACUGCUUCCCUUUCUACCCUAACCUGAACUACCGGUCUGAAGACUAACACUCGAACAGGAACAGGAUCAAACAAAGGAUUUGAAACAGUAGCUGGAGAAGAUAUAGCUCUGGGUAACUAACCAUGGGCUCUCAACUUCAAAUACAGAAUUCCACAAGCCCAGCAUGCAACGGGAAGGAAAGCCUACCACUACUCGGUUAAGCCUCAGCCUUUGACUCCCUCGGUGAAGUCUUGCUGGCACUGGGGUAAGGCUUGCUGGUACUGCUUUGAUUCCUGCUGGCACUCGGUUAAGGCUUGCUGGGCGGUGUUGUAGUCUUUGAUGCAGUGGUUGGUGUCUUAGUGACAGUGGUUGAAGAAUGAGUGACGCUAGGUUGAUUCUUGGAUGCACUGGUUAGUGGUUGUAGUCUUUGAGUUAGUGGCUAGAGCCUGGUUGUUAGCUUCAUUCUUGCCCUUACUGGUUGAAGUCUUGGAUUUAGUGGUUUGAUUCUAACUUUCCUACUUGCCCACCUCAGAGAAGAUCUCAUUCCGUUCACCUAUAUAAAGAUAUUAUCUCAUUUAGUAGGGGACACGCCUACAAAGGUGAUCGAUUGACUACUUGCUUAACACAUAGGUGAGACUACUCCACUCAAUGUAUAAAGAAUCGAGGUAAAGUCCUUAUUUCUCCCGACCAAGCCGAUCGCCAAGCAACGAGACCCCUCCAGUGAACUUUCAUUCUCACUUUCCGUAUUGAGAGAAAGAGCACCCGGCUUGUCACAGCUUCCAUUCUUCCUCUGUUACUACUGAGGCGAACAUAGGACUUCUAUCUUUCUAUACUUUCUCCUAUAUGAUGUGAUAUUCCGUUCACCUAUAUAAAGAUAAUCUAGAUAAUAGUAGGGGCCAAGUAGGGAUCAGAGCCAAACAAUUAUAUCUUUUCCUCAUUGCUUAACACAAGCAUCCGAGCCUAGUCACUGAAGUAAACAAGAACUUACUAUAAGGGCCACCACCCUAACAAGCUAGUCAGUUUACCACCCUAACAAGCUAGUCAGUCAACAACACUACCCGAGUCAAUAAACCAGAUCCGUGCAGGAACCAGAAAGUCAGUAACCCAGCCUAGUACUAGUAAGUCAACUCCCCUCUCGCCAACUACUGGAAUGGAAUAUCUCUCUUACCUUACCGGGAAUGGAAUAUCUCUCUUACCUUACCAGGAGUUUAGGCUAGGCAAGUCACUAUCGGCGUUAGUUGUUACCGAGUCCUGUUUUCUUUUGUUGACACUGGCCCAACCCUAGCUAGAGAUCGAAUACCAGACUAACUGCCCCCGCAUGGCCUCACUGCUUGUUGAAACAAGUCAUUAAGAAACAGACUUAGGGUAGUAGGCAACUAACUUAAGAGGGUUCAGGUCUACACUACAAUACAAGAAUAGGGGUCCGGUAUACACUAGAAAUUCAUUCUAAGCUCCAUUAGGUGUAUUACAAGGGGGGAAUUCUAUCAAAAAUCAUCUCCAGAUUGCAAAUAAAGCAUUUGAAUCCUAUAAAGCAGGGUCGAGUUGGAGUGUAAGCAGCAGUAAGAGUUAAGUCAACCAGAUCAGUAGAAGAAACAUAAUCAGUGUAAGAUAAGAUGAUACAGAAUUGAAUACAGAUUCCACAGGCAAGGAAGCACUAACGGUAGCAAUAGCAAGAGAGGAUCCUCAGCCUACUAUACAAUUGAUCCCAACUAUAUUCUUGCCCGCUUUCAGCUUACUUGAUAACAGCUUCAGAUCCCGGGUUUACUAAAGGCUCUGCUCUAACAGCUCCGCUUGCCUGCUUACAGAGAACUUGAUUGAUUUCUUUCUUACUAUACGAGAUUCCUACCCGCUUUCUUUCUUUCGCCAACAACUGGUACAUCUUCCGCAUCAGUAAGAAGUUGAUUCCCGCUUCAAAGCCUUGACUUUCUUCUUUUCUUGACUUUCUUCUUUUCUUAAAUAUAAUAGAAAUAUAAUAAGUGGUCGAAUACAGGACAGAUAUAGUCGUUCCGCUCUUGCUCUUGAAACCUCAGAUUAUCCUGCUCACUCGAAAGAAACAGCAAAGCUACGUAUACAAAGGCACAGCUAUGGACCAAAAGCCCUAGUAUAGUUCAGUGGCUUGCUUCCUCGCCUGCCUCUCCUCUCAAGUCACUUAGGAUAUCCCUUUCCGAUCUUACCUCGUAUUGCAGGGUGAAGACUUCUAGAUACAGGACUUGGUCACCAAAUACUUCUUGAAACUAACCUAACUCCCAAACCACAUAGCAAGUAGGCACCAACUACUAACCAAGCGUAUACUACUGGACUGGCACCCGAACUAGUAUGUAAACUACCCGCGCCUCAAAGCAAGUACUCUCUGGAACCACCCUGCCCCUUGUAUUGGAAUCAAACAAGUAAUUAAACAAGCCAAGCUGCUGGCCCCUGAUUGAAAGUACUAAUCCACUUCUUAUUGUAUCCCUGCCUCCCCUUCUGACUUAACUGCUUCCAAAGAUUCAAGUAGGUCCGCUCAUUCUAAGUGGGUUCACAAGAUUGACAUUCUUAUUGUCAACUUACUAGAAGGGCCUAUCCUAUGGCUCCCCAGUCCUUGCACAGCUACUACCUUCUGAGUCCUGUGCCCCUGGCUAUCUGUUCUAUCCUCUUCUCUUGCUCCGCCAAGCAUAUACUCGACAAGUUUCACUCCUAACUCAUUGAACUCCUAACUCAGGUACCAGUGUACUAAUUGCUGUAAGUGUUACUGAUUUCUUUGACUACUUAGUUUCAUUCUAAGAUUUACUAGCUCCAUUCUAUCAUAUGCUAUCUCAAUUCUCACGUUUUGCACUAAAUCAAACAAGCCCUUCCCUUUGCGCUAUUGCUUAUUUACCCACGAGGAUAGUUUACCAGACAAAGAAGAAGUCAAUUACGAGGAUAGUUUACCAGACAAAGAAGAAGUCAAUUCACUUCCAGUACAGGAAAAGGUUUUCUCGUUGAAGAUCUUAUUGCCCUAACUCCACUUUUAGAACCAACAACAUUAGCACCCGAAGACGACGAAGAAAGGACUUGUAAGAAUAUAGUUUCGCCUGCAUGAGAAUUCUGCUUUUCUCAAUAGGAAUAGAAUCUUUAUAGAAAUCAAAAGGAAAGGGUCAUAAGGAGUUUUUUGUUAUGAGUUAGGUCCAAGUAACUACUAAGUAACUACUAACCAAGCAGACAAGCGACUACUACAAAAGCUAAGAGCGGAGAGACAAAACCAAUAAUGUUAGUUAGUUCGGUGCCCUUAUGGAGUCCUGACUUUAUGGCGGUAGCGAACUUAAGAGGGUUAGUUCCUUUCUUUUCUGCUCUUGUUCCUAUUCCUACUUUCGGAAUCACUGGCUACUUACUUUAGCACCCGUAGAGGUAAUGAAACAGGCCUGGCCUACCCUAGUUAAGGAAUGACACAAGCCCUCGUAUAGGAAUGAAACAAGUCAAUAAACUACCGUACCCCUAGUCACUUCUUUAAACAAGCAAAGCUGUCAACUAAAACGAUCCUCUGGCUACAACUACCGGUAUUCACCAACAACUCGAACAGUCUCUUUUCACUCUGUCUCCUUAACUCCCUAGUAAUGAACUCCUCUUUCUUUCCUACCUAGACCUAACUUGAGCCUCUGAUUCUUCACCAGCUCCUUAUGAUUCUCGAACUCCCCUUCCCGCUCGUACCUGAUCUAGCUCCUGCUGAUUGAGUUUCUUUCCCCUUGUUCAUUAGUUCAGUCUUGUUGGCACUGGUGUAAUUCCCGAGUUCGAGUAUAUAAAGUAGUGUGGCAGCCUUUGAAGCACUAGUCGGAUUCUUUUGUUAUAGGGAAGAUAGUUCCAUUCUUUCCAGUAGUCGUAGUAGCCUUGGAAGCAGUAGCUACAGGCUAUAUUAAGUAGUUGAUUCCCUAUUUGUUAGUUGAGCUCGGCCAUACCCUUUCUUUGCCCAACACUCAGUCUUAGACUACACUUAGCUCAAUUCUAGCUUUGAUACCUUAGCUUUUAGUCUUCCUUGACUUUACCUUAUUCCUCAAUUGUAACAUAGCACACUGCCGCUACACUCUUUUGAGUGCUUUUCGUACUUUAUCCUACAAUAAAGAAAGAAACUGGUGCCUAUUGGAAUUGAACUAAGAGGUAAGAAAGGUGCUGAAAGCCUGCUGCUAACUCUAAAUUGAACUACUCUACCUGAUAGGUCAAACACAUAACUUAGCCUUUGUCCCCUAGCUUUUAGUCUUGCUUUACUUGCCCUGAGUCUUGCUUCACAGUCGAUGAGUCUCUGUCCUUAACGUUACUUAGUUUAUUUACUUAUAUUUAGAAUAAGAUCUAUGACAUACUGGAAUUGAAUCAAUAAUAAGUAGAAGAACGAACUACCAACACAACUAAUAAGACUAGGGUAAGAGCAUAGGAGCUUAUCUGACCUACUUUUGGGUUAGAGCCUCCUUAAUUCCCUAUUUACAGUUUGAUUCCUGUGCCAUAGUUUUUAUUUCAUCACUGCUACUCGGAGUGACAAUUACAAGGCUUUGUUUUCAGUCGGGCUUUCCUUCUUGUUCUGGUGUUGAUUAUUCCUUAUUCCCUUUGUUUGAUCCUAUGCUUUAUGACACUAUAUCAUAUGGUGUAUCUACGACGUUGACUAUCGAAUUCAAUAGGCAAUUAGCAUACUUCAAAAAGUAAACUAUACUGUAUAGCUGACAUCAAUAUCAGAAUUGAGCUAAGAAAGAAGGAUUAAAAACAUAAGUGAGAAUAUCAGAGGGGUUACGCAACAUCAGAUAUAUUUUGUAUAUGGCAAAUCAGAAUCCAAUCCUGUAUUAGUAGAGACAAGUAACGACUAGACGCCAAGCAACGGGACAGGCAACUACGACUAUUAGAAUGAAACCGCUACUCGUCAGAUGCCCUAGGUGCCUAAAGAAGGCAUUAGUCUAAAUCCUACUCAGGGGUCUACUACUACUACUGAUAAGAAUACCAACUACAUAAGACGAUAACUCAUAAGAAAGAAUCCAAUACUGCCCUAACGGCUUUAACUCAAUACAUGGAAUCCAAUCCACUCCAUUAUAGAACUCCACUAAUACUAUCAGAACUAAACCCAGCAGUCCGAGCCCCCUAACGAUUGCAUAUCCUUAUUGCCUUUCCCUUGGCCCGACACCCCUUGCUUGUCCUUACUUAGUUGCUCGCCGAGUGAAAGUGUUUUUAUGCGGUGUUCAAUUCCUAGUUUCCUUUCUUCUACUUAUUUGUUUGAUUCCCGAGUUAGUAGUGGGGGAGUUAGAUACAUUAGUGGCAGGGCUGGGUUACAAAUUGAGUGCUUUUUAUCCGCUUACUAUUAUGAGUUUUCUUGUUCAUAGCGUUGUUCUAGUAUGUUCAUGCGAGUAUCCAAUCUAUUAGGUAGUGUUUUCAACCUAGGCUUCAGUCUUUCCAGUAGCAGUUAUAGAGAAUGAGACCACAAACGGGAAGUAAGGUUUAGCUGAAAGUUUUUCUGUUUGAUAGUAAGGAUCGGAAGAGCCAAACUCGACUGUGAGGUAAGGGCUGCAAGAAUGGUAGCCUGUAAAGGCGGACUAAAACAUAGGUGAGCAACACCUUAUUAUAGUAUGGAUUCCGAUUAGCAACUGUUAAAGCUAUGUUAGUACUUGUUGAAUUGAACUAGGGCUUCGAACACCCAGUAACUCACCGGCAAGCUACUCUACGACUACAAACUCUACUCUCAGUUCAUAACCACUUCUAGCCUACCUCCCCUCUGGUCUUGCUAAUCUACCUCUGUAAACUCAUAAAGUUGUUGCUCUGGACUACUCCGACUACUCUACUGGUUGGGCAAGGGAGACAAAGACAGGACUUCCCUCUUUCUCCACUUUUUCCUUAAUAAGAAGAUCUGCCUCCCCUUUCUCUGAAACUUCCAAUAAUACCUGUUAGCCCGCCCUUCCUUAGCUUGCAUUCUUAUGAUUGAGUUGGCGCCGUCUUUCCCGUCUAUCAUCCUGACUAUCCUUUAUCUCUUUCUGAAGCUACUGAGUGGUGAGUUGAAGCCCAGUAUUAAUGAGUCAAAUUCCUACUUUAGAGUUGAUAGCGAAGUGACCCUCUGAUACUAGAUGCGCUUAGUUUCAUUCUUAUACUACUGAGUUUGAUUCUCACUUUCUAACUUUCACUGGGGAGUUAACUCAUAAACUACUGGCUCGGCUCUGUAAACAAAUACUUCUUGAAAGAGCUAUACCGACUUGACUUAAUAUAAGGCUUUGCUAGACUAGCACAAAAGUUCUCUUUCCACUCCUCUUAUAUACAAAAGUCAUCUUUCCACUCCUCUUAUAUACAAGUGAACAGUAAACACAAGUGAACAGUAAACAACAUGACAUUCCAACUUUACUAAAUUCUAUCUUAUAUUUCUUAAGGAUAACUGAUGAAACUUCCCUUGAAGACCAGACCCGACCUCUUAAUCAUGAGCUAGGUAUGAUAGUUCUAUUACUAUAUGCGGGCAAAGUCACUACUAGACAAGAAAGCCAGUACUACCAGAAGUAACCAACAACUUAUUAUAGAGGCGUGCCUCUUAGAUGAAAGUAUGAGACAAACUACAACUACAAAGGCAAAGAAAACAAUAAAGCAGGCAAUUCGAGUCGACACCGCGCCUCAGAAAGACGACUUGGACCACUACUUUUCAACUUACGACUUAUAUACUCCCCCGAUUGCUGCUAAUACAGAUUCCACUGGACUACUUAGGGCUUUCAAAACCAAGUCCUGUGUUCAAGAACAAGUACUACCUUGUCUGAAACUCUUCCUCAAACAGAAUCAUGAGCUAGGUAUUCUAGAAAUAAGUAACCCAGGAAAAGAGGUGGGUCCAGAAAUGCAGCAAGUAAGAAUGAAGGUAUUGUUGCCAUAGGUAUAGGAGCCGAAUGAAGUUCAUAGUUUACAACGGUAUUGAAGCCAGCAGCUAGUUUAGAUGAGCCAUAGGAGAGUGAAAAGAGCCAGAAGAUAGAUAUAGUAGCCAUAGUUCUAGCAGGUAUAUAAGUGGCACUCGCUUAAGGAGCUGAGCUAGCAAGUGAAGUUGAUUCAUAAGUCGUAGUAGUACUGUUCUGGUUCUAAAGUCUGGUGAGUAUAGAGAGACAAGGGGAGCUCGAGAAUCAUAAGGAGCGGGUGAAGAAUCAGAGGCGAAAGUCAGGUCUAGGUAGGCAAGCUUCAUGACUCAAAUCCAUUCUCGUAAUUGCUUGGUUACUCGGUAAUAUACUUAGGGCUUCAAAGCCGAACCUUGAAACAACAAUUGUACCAGUAGGGCCAUGCCAGGAAUGAAAUCUUUCUCUUCUCUUGCUACCGUAAGGGCACUUGUUCUUGUGCCGAGUCCACUACUCCACCUUUCGCUCGUUCCGAGUCAACAACUCCCGUUAGCGCCUUACCUUAGCCACUUAGUAUUAUUGGUCCGGCUACCCCUAAUUCUCAUCUUUCUUGCACUGAAGGAACUGCACCCGCACUGCCAACUUUAGCCUCUGAUCCAGCUCUAUCUUCUGCUUUAGCCUCUUCUUAUCCUUAUUCUACCCCAUCAUCAGAUCCUUCUUAGAAUCCUGUUCUGCCAAUAACAUCAUACUUAACUGGAGCUGGACCUGGCAGCAAUACUUAAGCCUCAAUCAAAGUCAAGUAUCCGACAAGUAAAGCAACCAAGCGACUACUAAACAAGCAUAGAAACGUAAACUUGAAUGGAAUAUCUCUAAACUCAUACAGAAUCCAACAAGAAAUACAAAGAAUUCAACGGACCCUAUUAAGUAAGUAGGAAACUCCAUUCUUAUAACUGUACUGGAAAGCAAGAAAGUCAGAAGCAAGCUCCAACCUCAGCAUUGAACUGGCUCCAAGGAAACCAUCUUUUAUGUAGAAUGAGAAUUAUCCUACCGCAACACUCGUACCCUCAACUCGAUUCUGGUAUUUCAAGCUUUCACUCUUAGCACAACCUACCACUCUGUGAUUACCAACUAGAAAUAUCCAUACGCUCUCGGUUACCUUAAGAACUCUUUUAGUGCAAGGCAGCUCACUGACACUGAACUUUGAUGCUUGGACCACUAGCAGGAGCAAGCCUACAGUCAAGUAACUACUAGACAAGCCGAGCAAAAGUUAAGUAUUAUUUAUACAUUUGCUAUCAGCCAAGUUACUACUAGGCAAGUAGACAACCAACCACGAAGCUAUCAGCCAAGUCAUUACUAAGUCCUGUGUUCGGGUGCUAAGAGCCUAGUGUGGUUAGUUUUAUAGAUAGGAUCCGGAUCAGUAUAGUAAGUCCUAUUUCUUUGUUUGCUUCUUUAUCGUUAUUGGUGGUUCAAUUCGGUCUUUUUGCCCAGAUCAUAUCGGCUGUUUACCAUCUGUUCCAUUCUCACUGGUGCCCUUCUCCAUUCUUAGACUCACUAAUGAGAUGAAUUCUUCCCACACAAUACGCAACACCAUUUUGAAUGACCUUGUGCUCCGCCCUGCCCUAAGCUUCCAAUACAAAUACAGAAGAGUGAUUUUCAUUCUGAUUUAAUAGAGCGCAGUCUUAGCUUCCUAUCCAUCCGAUGUCUCCUUCCUUCAUUCUUCUUCUUCUUCUUAGUAUAGUAUUCCUAUCUUUUCAUUAUUAGUGGAAUUUCUACGUAUGAGUUGUUGUCUUAUCGGUAGUAGCGAUAUUCUUGUUAGUGGUGAUUCGAUCCCUAGUUAGUGACUAUUGGUUGCUGUCUUUAGUUAUGCCUUCUCGUUCUUUUCUUUAACUCAAUACUGGCAUCCUUGCUUCUGCAGAUCAGUAAACCAAUAUCCCCUGCUAAGUCUACUGCUACUAUCUCCAAAAACAAUGCUGCUUUAUCUCAUUCACCAAGCUGCUACUACCAUUAGUAUUAUUUGUAUUAGAAACUAAUCCUAACCUAUAAACUGACCUCACCGAACUAUACUUAGCAUUCUGAUUUGUCAUUGAAAACUUCCACGCUCUUGUACUUACUACCGAUAUUCUUUAUUCUCUAUAUCGUACCUAUAUUCUGUAUUUCCAGAUUUCUUCUUACUCCUUUGGCUUCUUUUUCUUCCUUUGUCUUGCCCCUAUUUAGGGUUAUUCUCAUAGCUUAUUGAUAAACAUAUUCUAAUAUCGGCGAAAAGAAUCAUUAACCUAAGUAGUAACCUUAAUAAGGCACGUAAGAAUAAAAGACAGUAAAGAUAGGCUUGUAUUAAGGAGAGACGGACUCUAACUAAGCUUGGAAGCUAUUAGGUAAGGCUCGGGAUACUAGGGCAUAUAAUAGGGGGUCCUCUGCUGUUCGAUUCUAUCCCUUGAGUUUCUAUUAGUUUAGGGCUAUGGCCUUGUUAGUUGCAGUUCAACCCGAUAGUUAACCAAUAAAAGAUAGAUUGGUGCCCCAAGGUAUUCGUUUUAGAGUGAGUAGCUACAGACCUCGUUUUGUAUCUCAGGAAAAGAAAGCAAGUAUGGAUACCUUUCCUUAUUCUCAUGUACUAGAUCAAUUCUGAGAAGCACCGGUUCAAGCCACCAAGGCACUGCUAAUGUGACGCGGUAGCGAGCCCUCAGUGGUUAGAGACCUUGGCGACCAAUACAGAGAGUCAAUGGACACCGCGUCAGGCUGAGAUGCACUGGUUGUAGUCUUAGUAGUCGUGAUAGCUGGGGCUGCUAGUUGCUAGUUUGAUUCUUAUCCGCGAGCUCACCUCUUAGUUGCAUUCUGGAUUUCCGUACUUAUGGCUUAGCUUCCUCUCCUCUCUUUGAUUUCCUGGUUCCAUUCUUAUACUGACUGGUGGAAUUCCCCCUUCCCUUAGUCUUACCUCUCCUCUUCUCUUGUCUAGUAGUUGCUUGGUGGACUCGCUUCUAAUUCCACUUUCAUUCUAUCUUGACUACUUUCAUUCUAUCUUUCUCCAAAGAAUCGAUGCUUUUGAGCUUGGAAACGAGUUGCUGAUGGCUAUCUGGCAUUCUAUUAUGCAAAGCACUCGCCCCCCUUAUGUCUGCGUCUGCGCUAAUUGAGGAAGGAGUGUGUUGACCCCAUUUAAAGGGAGCCUGAUCCCAGUUGUUAAUUGAUCUGCAUUUUUGGGUAACCUCUAUGCUUCUCGGCCUUAUCUCCUUUACACCCUGAUAUGGAAUUAGUUGAUGCAGGGUUUGCGCCCAAACUCUUUCUGGGAUCUGCAGCAGAGACAGUUUCCCCCACACGAGUGGCGCUGGAUCCUCCUUUAUUUCCUCAAGGAUGUAUCUGUACAACGAAGCCAAAGACUUCCAAAAGGAUAGGUUAAUCAGCGUGUCUUUGAAUUCAGGGAAGAUCUUGCUCAUGAGGGUUCGAGUGCUCGUUCUAGGAGCUCCUUCCUCAAUGAAUAUUCCAACAUAGAAAUUGUUCCCUGUGUCUCAAAGAAAAUUCCAUCGAAAAGAAAUAAAGAAAUGUGGAAUUGUUUAGAUCAUUAGCUGCAGGAGUGACUCGGCUGUCUAUACGUUACUUGGCCUAUACCGAGUAUACUCAAAUGAAUUCUCUUUCAUUAUAUAGGAUUCUAUUUCCUCUUGCGACAACGGGGUCCCUUCUCUGGUUGCGACAACGGGGUCCGUCCCUUCUCUGGAGUGGCAUCUCGGCUCUGGAUAGUGUGUUAGUCGAAGAAACUUCUUGCGUAAUUCUACUGCUACGGAUAACCAUAAGUAUAGAUUGUUUUCAUGCUAUCGGAAUAGAAAAGAGAAUGCCCAAUGCCAUGCCUAACUGGCGGUAAAAAGGGAAAAUAUACCGACAAAGAAAAACGAAUGAUUGAUAACAAUUAAUGAAAUAAUGGAUAAAUGACUAGUAGAGAAGAUUAGGAACGAAUAAUGAAAGAGAAACGAAUGAGUAAAGGAGGAGUCACUGAGGGAAAAGAGCCUAUAAUAUGAGAAAAGAAUAUGAUAACAAAAAGAAUAUAAUAUGAUAGAAUAUGAGAAAAAAGAAGCGAAAAAAAGGAUGACUAGAAACUAAAACGGAGGGAGAAAUAAGGGGGAGAGAGCUUAGGAAUAUCAGGGAGAAUAGAGGCGAAACACCCUAUCUUUCCUUAAUAGACGUGAAACACCUUCUCUUUCUUAAUAGACGUGAAACACCUUCUCUUUCUUAUUCUAAUGAGGGAGGAGCAAAAUACAGAGGAUAUGACAAAAAGCCCGAGGGCGACCCAACCUCUUGUGAACAAUCCGCAGAUUGAAAUUAGUAAAAGCUAUGAAAUUCGCAACAGUCGGCUUGGCAGGUACGUACUUGUUGGAUCACGUAGGGGCGGAAAGAGCACCCACUAUGGUAGGGAGGUUAUCGCGUGAUGCGGAAAGAGCACCCAACCCACUAUGGUAGGGAGGUUAAUUAAUAAGAUCAGGGCUACCCGACACAAGAGCAGAAAUCUACUUUUUACCGGCAAGCGUAUACUACUGGACUGGAACCCGACCCGGCCUAUCUUUCUGAUCCUGCCUCGGAUCUUGCCUCGGAUCUUGCUCCUAUGUUUUAUAGGCUUGAAAUGCUUUCUUUCUCAUAUGGAGCUGUUUUGAAUGUCAUUUGCCAUCAACACAAAAGAAGUUCUGUUAGAGUGCAUUUCCUCCUAUAAGAUUGAUGGUUCGACUUCACCUCUAGCUCUGUAAACUAAUUCUGUCAUUCCUACUUCUGAGGUUGUCUCUCUCUUACUUGAAACAAGAACUCCCGGCUCAGCGAACUAAGGCUCAGAUCAUCUCUUUGAACUCUGUCUUGUCUACUUGCCGGAUAGCUUGAAUAGCUUCCCGAGCCUAGUAACUUCAUGAAACAAUCAAUACAGAAUACAGCGGGCUCUGGCUCUGUGAACUCAAACUACCCUUUCUGCUACCUUAUAUAAGAGAACUGAUUGAACUCCAUGGCGCCUACCUCGACUCUUGAACCUACCUAUCCUCUUCUCUUGCAACAAAGACAGAUUCACACCAAGAACGGAAAUAGACUGAACUGCUUAACUGCUACAUGGGCAUAAUUGGAUUGGACUUCUGAAUUUGAUGCAAGAAAGUAAAGCACAACGAAGGAAAGAUAUUCGUAUUCUUGACUUAUGGUCAUAGGUAAGAAGUAGCUCCAUUCUUAUCUUAGUACUAAAUGUGCUUUGACUACUUAGUUCUCUAAGUGUUAUACCAGUAAUAGCAAUACCCCAGUGGAAUUCUUUGUUGAUUCCGGUUUCCUAUAUUAAGAAGUCCUAUGUUUCCUAUACAGUGUCAGUACACGGGUUUCAAAACGCGAAGACAUAUAUUGUAAUAACUUCGUUAUGACUGUCACUUGCUGCCGCUCGAGAUUAGGACUUGGGAACAACCCCAUAAAACAUAUUAUAUGAGUUCCUUGCCUUCUAUGUUUUCGUAGCAGUUACUUGGCCUGAUUUAUUUGUGAUUUGAGAAAUUGAUUCAUUUUCUUACAAUACCCUAGCCCGACCCUACCUAGUAUGUCUAGUCCACCCCACAAAGUAAGUAAUCAAGCCCUACCUGAACUAGUAGUUUCGUGGUGACUUUAUCCUUGUUUGUAUUGACAGGAAAGAAGAGAAGAGAAAGGAGACAUAAAUCAAUAAAUACAGAAAGGACUGCCGCGUAACAUUAGUAGUUACUUGGCCGGUCUUCAACUAGCCAAUAACCUACUACGCGCACUAUAAUCAAUGGUCAGUGAAUUCUGUGACUUCCACCUCCUGAGUUGAGAAUUUCCAUUUCAUUUAAGUGUUAGGAGCUACACCAAGAGCGUAUACAUUGAGGUAAUCCGGGUCUGGUUCUUAGCUUUGCAUCGAAUUAAACCACAUGCAUGCUCCGGCCCCCGUAAAUGACUUUUAGCGAACGACGAAUUCUUCCUCUUCGGGAGAUUGCUUGGAUAGGUCCCGUGUGUGUCCUUUCUAUCUCUCGAUGGGCAGUGGAUCUGAUUCAAACAUGAACCAAUGACUCGAGUCACUCGGGCAUUCCUACAAGAGAUCUUCCUUCUAACCCAAACGGAAAGGGAUUCUUUACGCCUUAACCUUUGUACCGCCUUUACCUUUCCUUUCUAACUGUCCCCAUUCUAUACUACAACACAAUAAACUCCACUUUAAGAACCCUACUCACUACAUACAGCUGGAAGAUGCCGUUCCAUUACGUGGGUAUUAUUCCAGAGAUUCUAUUCGAGAUACAGUAAAAGUAGAACUCUCUCUCCUUGAUGAACCAACAACACCACUGUAAACCCGGAUUUAUGUCCCACUGACUGGAUACUCUGACUUUAGCCUUCUUCUCGGCUCGGCUGAUUAUCUCGUAGACAACAAACAGAGGUAAAGCCAAUAAAGGAAGGGAAAGCCCGGAACUGUGCUUGUAGGGGAAAGCCUAUAACGAAACUUCACUACAACACUAUUAGGAACUCGAUUACCUGGAGCUACAGCGGUGACACGACUUGGAUCACUUAGCGCAUUUAUGGAGUUGGUAUGGAAAGAGGGAUAUUUGCUAUUAACAGAGUAAGACAGAGCUUCAACAACGAUAAAUAAGGGUAUUUGCCAUUAGCUACGUUGAACAGAGGUCUUACCACUACAAAGAAAGAUUCAGUUCCAGGCCUUAUCUUAACCUUAAUGCUUGGGCCACAAUGUGUAAGUAGCAUAUGAUAGAAUUUAGUAAACAAACACAGCUUACUCAAAACAAAGCGUUAGCACCCUCUCUGCCAAGCCAACAUUCAUUUCUCUCUCUUACCGUUUAGGAAUUGACACUCCCUUCCCAAACCUAGCUGUCCAGAGAUGCUUCACCGCUUAACCUAGACUCGCACCCGGAUACUGAUUGACCUCGACUUGAAGUUAUUAAUUUCUUUGAAUCUCCUUUUUUGUAUACCUAGGAUAGAAUGAAGUCAAGUGUCGAACAGUCUAGUCUAAGGCUUCUAAAACUAGUCCUUCUUCCGAAACUCAUCCUGCUGUCACUCGAGUCGACAACACUAGCACCUGACCCGACCUCUCAUAACCUAACUUUUGAACUGGAACUAGCCCUAGCCCUAGACUCUUAUCUAACCCACUUGCAACAGGCUCUACUCUUUCUACAAACAGGACCAGACCUAUCCUUGAAGACGAAACUCAUCUCUACGAUUCAACUCGGGAUUACUUUCGAACAGAAGAAACAGCAUGUAAGGAUCCUGCCCCCUAAUUGUUGAAGAACCAAUUGUAGUUGACUUACUUUCGAAACUUUCAGUGAACAAUUGAAUCGCAAUACACGCAACACAAGCAUCCGAACUAUACUGACUUUCGACCUGCUUCUCUGAUCUUGUAGACUUAAGCAUAGCUGAUGCGAAUUCUAUUACAACAACAGAAUAACCUAUAUCUACUGACUUAUAGCCAAGAAUCGAUUUUGGAGACUUUCUACUUGCACCACCACUUGCAACUUACACAAGAACAUGGGACUUUAUGGACUUAUCGUGCCCGUACUAUUGGAUUCCCCUUAACAAGCUGAACUUGUAAGUAAAGUAGGCUUUCCUCGCCCUUAACGGUACGAGCCCAUCUACUCAAUUACCCAUCGGCUGCUAAGCUGCCCUUGUUUCGAGUGUACCGCUUGUAGUAGUAGUUUGGUGGUACGAGAAGCAGUAAGUAAGCCUAUGAGCAAGGCAGGACAUCUUUUAGUAAGCAGUUACAACAGUAUUAAAGUCAGAAGCGGGAGACCUUUAUUUAUAGCUUGGAGAGCUAGACUGAAUAGGGCAGGGCGUAUUGGUAAAGAGUAAGGCUUGUUUUGUUGGCAUCGGUUAAGGCAUUGUUGGCAUCAGCUCAAGUCUUGGAAACACUAGUCCAAUUCGUGUUAUUGGUGUAGGAUUCCUAUUGUUGGCAGUAGAUAAGUAAGGGCAGCUGACGAUGGCCCUAGCGCAAGAAUACAAGUGAGCAAUGUUUGUUUUAGAGCUAUGAGUCGAAGGAUCCGGAUCCGCGGUGAAAGUAUUAGCCUAGGUUAGUGUAUUCUGUUUGCCAGUAGCGUUAUUCUGAUAUUUCAAGUAAACAGGGGCUUUAGUGAGUGGAUUUCUUAUUCUCGGCCUUAUUUUCUAGGUGACUUCUUAGAUGCGUACCCUUACCCUACUAGCACUUAGGGUGAUUCCAUGCUCUACUACUUAUUCUUAUACCUAUACAGCGAUACAUCAUACCUUAUCACUUCUAAGUUACAUUACGAGAAGCACCAGUGUCAUUCCCUGUUCGAAGCUACGGCCUUGCUAGCCCCGGGUCAAUUCUAUAGUUCCCCUGGUUCAAUUACAUAGUUUAGAGUUAAGCCUUGUUGGUAGGUCUAUUCUUUAUUACUAGUGGAGUUCCCGGCGUUGCUAGCUUAGUUCUUUAUUUCAUAGUUUUACCUGUGUUAUAGGGCUAUAUCCCUGUUGACAUUAGUGAAAGUAUUCGAGGUGGUAGUCACAUGCUAGCAAUCAAACACUACGGAUCCGGAUGCCUAGUCCAAUUCUAAUAAGUGGCGUUUCGAGUUAUCAUAGUAGAAGCCUAGGUCCAAGCCAAGUCCGAGAAGCAUUAGUUCCAUCUAUUGGUAUGGUAGUGGAUUCUGAUUAGCUGCAACUCGAUUCUUGUUAGCAGAGGAAUAAGAUUUGGAUAUAAGUAAUUCAGAUGUAGAUCCAGUAGCGGAAGACAAAAACUCGUAUACCAAAAGUAGAUCUCUGUGCGCGCCCCUUGUGUUACUCUAAUUCUGAAAAAUACCUUUCUAUCAUUCUCACGACUUUGGCACUUAAGUGAAGUUCAACUCCCUCUUUGGGGUCUAAGGGUAAAGGGUCAAUAGUCGAAAUAUAAGGAACAGGGUCAAGAAAGGGUCAAUAGUCGAAAUAUAAGGAACAGUACAAAGAAUCAUAAUUCUAUAGUGGGUGUGGGAGCGUUAAGCUUUGAUUAUAGGCAAGACAUUUGAACAGAACAAGCAAGGGUUUCUCUACUUAAGUAUACAGUACACCGCGCGACUCAGACUCAGCUCGCUAACGGGGAGUUCUCGUAAACCCGGAUUGAGAAUCCUAACACCUAUGGUAAAACUCACUCAUCAAAUGAGGCUUGUCUCUUCCCUUCACCAGGCAUUCCUUUAAAUUCGAGUAGACUAGGAGGCAAGACAAUCAGCGACAUUACCAACAGGAGGUGUUACCGAUCACUACAAGGAAGGGGCUUAAGAAGGAAGGGAAGGACAUAAUCUCGGUUCAGGCAAUCAGGCUUUCGAGUCGUGAAGUCCAGUUUCGGGAGCAAGACUCAGGUUCCUAAGUGCUAACCUAACGUGUUUAGAGUUAUUUGUUACCGCUCCGUAGUCUAUAUUAGGGUAUGUUACCGCUCCGUAGUCUAUAUUAGGGUAGCUCGCUUCAAGCACCCGAACUUGACUUUCUUUUGAAUCCAAGAACAAGAUCAGAAGCCUAAGAUGGAGCAGUUUCAAGAUCUUCAUCAGUUUCCAGAGAAUCCUUAGUUCGAUAUCUGGGUGUUGGCGCAGAGACAGCAGUAACAAAAGAAUCACUAGUGGCAGGAUCUUAUGAAGCAGCAAUUCCUGUUGUUGAGGUCGGGGAAGACUCUUUAGCUAAAGGGAGAGUUUCCGGAUCUUGAUAAUCAGAUGAAUCAGAUAGAGCAGCUGAGGACAAAGAAAGGACUCGUUUAUAACUCGUUUAACACAUCUUAUGUUGCUACUGAUGCCGCGGAUUUGGCCUCUUUCUCAUGCCCACUAUGUACUUAAGGGAAGAAAAUCAGAUGGUACUCAUUACUCAUAUCUGAGGGUGCUAAUGGAUGGUUUCAUUUCAUAAUAUCUUAGCUAGAGCUAGCGUGGAGCUGCUAUUAAUUGGGUCUUCAUUCUUUGCCAUUAGUUAGGUCGGUAUUCAUUCUGAAAUAGAUGAUAGAUGGCUUACUACUAAGAUUCCAAGUCGAACAGGACAAACAACCAACUGAACCUUUCUUGCAGACAACAAGGGAAGGAAAGGAAAGGAGCAGCAGCCUACUUAAGCUUUAUCACAAGCACCGCACCAGUAUCGUCAGUCACUCCGUAUUUCUUUUCUCAUUCUGUAAUUCACUACUUAUAUGCGGCAGAAGGAGUGGUUGGUAGCGAGGGUUGUCAGUUCAUAAAGUGAAGUUCUAGUUCUGGUUUGAUGUUUCUGAUAGUGAUUCAGUGGUUAUAAAGUCAGUCUUAUGUUGGUGUUCGUCAACAAGAAGGGGUGAUCCUUAAUGACAUGAUUUACUUCAAGUCAAAGAGCAGGACUAAAACUACCUACCUGGGUGCCUUUCAUCUUAUAUAGAAGCGGCAUCUCCUCUUUAAGAAUGCCCAAGUCGCGGUUAAGGGAAAGAGAAGACUCGAUUACUGACUUUUUAUUACUGUUUCUUUUCUUGAAACUGUCUCAUCCGUUGCUUUAAGAAUGGAAUCCAAAUAAAUAUGUACCUUAUGCACCUCAUACAUAUAUAUGAUAGAAUACAGUAAACAACCCGCAUCUUCUAUUCUGCUUUGCCUACGAGUAGUUUGCUAUAGGAUGGGGAACAAGCAUACAAUCUUUGAAUCUUUUAGUGCCGAGCCAAACAGGAAAGAAAACAUUGAUUUGAUCAUUAUAGGUCAACUCCCUAACUCAUCACUUUCCUUUCAAACUCCAUAUUGGAUUCCUUCCUUUCGCUGGUAAACCAUCUUUUCAGUGAAGAAUUGAGUGCUCUCUUGCACAUGGGGUAUAGUGUACGGGUAAUAUACAAGAUUCUAGUAAACACCCUCACUAACGUUUCAUUCACUCUCUUUCCUGAAUUUCUUGAGACCUUCUUUUGGACUUAACACCGAGUCUACCCCAAGUCUACGGGCAAUAAAAUAAGGAGAAAAUAGAGUCAAUUCGGUUUGGGCUAAAGGCAACUCUUAAAGCUACUGUUAUAGGCUAGUGGUCUUUAUAGCGUUAGUUAAAGGGGCUUGAACUUAAUCCUUCUCUAAGUUGAACCUCUGCACACGAGCUGUCAACCCUGAAUUCCGACUUGCGCCUGUUCCGAGAUACUUUAUUAUAUUAUUGGAGUAAUGAAAUCCAGUACCAGUAGUGAGUCAGCGGAAUCACUGUAUUCUACUAAGGAGCAGAGACAUAAGCCAUAUCCAGAGUAGGAACAAAAGAAGAAGUUGUUCGAGUUUAGGAGACAAGAUCUUAAGAAAAAGUCGGAUCAAUAUCUGAAGCAGAAGACGGAAUUAGGACUAGUUAAUUACUAUUAAUAACGUAGUACUUACUGCUAACGCCAUAGAAUAAGGACUGGGCAACAACUAACGUACAAUGUCACUAUUUGGUUGUUACGUUGCAUCUGUAGUAUCCGCCUUGUUCCUGUUCCAGUUGCAAGUAUAGUUGCUUUUGUCUAUAAGUCUUAUGUGAACCUAUGUUGAACUCAUACUAGAGCUUUGGAGGAAAGUAAGCUGUAAGCGCGGUAAGUAAAUAAUAAUACUUGAAAGGCAAAUAAUGAAUAAAAUAAUGGGGGAAAAAGUCGGUAGCAAUCGGUUCCUCAAAGGUAGUUCGAGCAUGAACAUCGGCGACGAGGAGGAAAGAGUGUCUGCAUCCUUACUAAACCAAUCGACUUGGAACCACUACUACUUAAAGGGACAUUGCAUCAUAUAAUGAAACACUCACUUAACUUGUCGACUUGGGCCAAUAACUUCCUGAAACUUGAACUACAUUUGCUAUUUGAUUUAACUACAUUUGCUACUUGCUUUCGAGCAAACUCAUGUGAAAGGGCUGGGCGCAUAAUAAUCAAAAUAGAGAUCAUCUGUGGUGCACGAGUCCGCAACAAACGGUUUUAAGGGUUGGAGUUAACGUUGACAGUGAAGUUGGUUCAUCAAUAUAAGUUUGAGUUUCAUCUGUGUUAGCACCGAUAUAAGUAUAAAGAUCUUACUAAGUUCGAGGUCCAGUUCUCAAGUCAGAAUGAAACCCGUAAGUAAAGGAAGGAGUCUCAUUGAGUUAGCAGAGAUUCCAUAGUCUCUAGAGAUUCAAUCGGGCAAGCUAAUACUAAUUGUUGGGGAUUCAACAAUCACAGUCAAUUCUGCUGCCUCAUCUCUUGCUUCUGUUUUAGAUGCUUACCCUUACUUUUGAUCUACAGUAGUUGCUUGCCCUGGCUUUCCUAAAUGAAUGAGAAGCGACUCACUAAUCCGGUUCCAUAUUGAAUAUCUGGUUUAUUGCAAGUUAGGUAUCUAAAACAGCUCAGUGGGCUUUUUCCGUAGUCGGCGACCAUCAUUUUCUCUUUAGAGUGCUACAUUCGACCGGCGUGUCAACCGGGUUGCAAUCUUCCUUCUUGAAUCAGAACCUACUUAGCAAUCUUCCUUCUUUAUGAAUCUUUUGAGAACGCAUAUCCCUCUUGCGAAAGAUGAUGCAUGGCUUCUUUCUUGACUUUGCUUCACUUCAAUACCAAUGACAUGUUGCUUCACUUCAAUACCAAGGAAAUAUUACAUGAGUCCAAUGUCGCCCACAUUAAUUGACCAUUCUUUAACCUCAUUCUUCAAACAUUAGUAGAUUGCUUCCUGUAAAGACUAUUUCAUAGAAAGGAAAGACAAGCAAACAAGUCAUCUGGUAAAGACUAUUUCAUAGAAAGGAAAGACAAGCAAACAAGUCAUCUAUCUCCAUUAUGGUUCAUCUUCCAAUAAAGAAAGAGCACUUGCUUGAAUAAGGACACUGCAACCCAUUUCGCUUGAAAUAGGCAUCAAUGAUAGCAUCGAGUUAGGGUGUUAGGCAUCAAUGAUAGAUAGCAUGGAAUACAUUAGGUUCUAGCUUUAGGCAUCAAUGAUAGCAUGGAAUACGUUAGGUUCUAGCUUGAGGUCAUAUAGAGCGGAGCUACCUUCCACUUGAUCACUUAUUCUAUUCUUCAUGCCCCUUAUUAAUGGAACCCCCCUUAUUAAUAUAACCCAAUGGCUUUAUAUACACCUCUUCCUCAAUCCAACUAUUCCAAAAUGCAGAAUAGACUUCUAUUUUCUAGAUUGACCAAUUCUUUUGUACGUCAAUAGAGAUUUGGAAGAAAAUCGUUUCUAUUCAGAUAACAGGGGCAAAUACCUCAUCAUAGUAGAUGCGCUUGUCACCCUUUGCCACCAAUCUAGCUUUGUAGCGAUCAACAGGGCCUUUGAUCUUUGGAUUUCCUUGCGGAUGUCGCUUUUUCUUACAUUUCAAUAAGAAAGACUUUUUCUUACAAUUCAAUAAGAGAACUCCUACCCCAAAUCUAGUAUGGAAUUGAGUAUAAAGGGAAUUCUACUCCGCUUCCAAAUAAAUAAUGAAUAUAAGGUACAGCACAUAAGGAGAUCGAAAUGCAAUUAAGUAUUGAGAGCAACAGCGCGAAGUGAAUGAAAUACGGAAUUCAAUUCGAACAGCAGAACUCACAGGGUAGUGAGGGAAUACUGAUUCGACCCUGUAUAAUACAGAAUGAUAAAGGUUUUGGUAGGAAUGAACUAUUUGCAUAUUAUUAAUUGGUCACCAACCUAGUACGUGCUCUCUCUAACAAGUAAGAAUGGAAAGUGCUAUCAACUCAAAAGUUCGAAUUGAAACAGCAAGGUAGGAGUGACACUAUAAAGACAAAAGCAAAAGAAAACUCUAUCUCGCCAAUCACGUGCUCUUUUCACUUUACAUGAAAUUAUGUAUGUUACCCUAUGAUUCUUCCUACUACUUACUAUAGGUCUGCUACUACUUCAUCUAAGUCUGUCUUACUUACUUAGGGUUCGCUCUUGGACUCCUUACUCCAAUUAUGUGUUACACCAUUGAGUCUUCUACUGGUUGGUUGGAGCCUACUGCCCGCGAGAACACAACUACACCAAUGGAUAGAAUAGAACCGCAGCUACUCGGACUUAUGCCCGGAACCGGGAAACCAACUACAAAUGCUAAUACUUUAACUGGGAACUAAGCCUAUACCUACCGUCUCUAAGACCGAACCUGUCGACUGAAUAAAACAGCUACUAUCCACUACUACCUACCAACUACUACCAUGGGAAUCAGACUAACUCAUUGCCUCACAAGGCUUUCACCAAUACAUCCAAGACUGGAACUACUGAUAACAAGAUCUCCACCCUUCUUUUUGUACGAAAUCGGAUCCUUAAUGAAAGAAUCAAAGAAAGGCUAGGUAGUCUUAGAAGCAGCAGCUCAAGUCCUAUCAACAGGUAGUACUGUUAGAGUUAGAGUUUCAUCCCAUCCCGGUAGUCCAGGUAAAGUUGAAGUUUCAUCCCAAACUAGUAGUUGAGUAGUUUCAUAAGUAGUUGUAGCCAUAGGUAUAGAUAGAAGACAGAGUUCAAAGAGUAAGCCCGAAGUAAGGAGUCAGCCCACUACUAGGCUAGGAAGCCCACCGAUUGCCCGUACUGAUUCCUCUAGUACCAGAUAGAGAGUUUCAAUAGAACAAGUAAUCAAUAUAAGAGGUUUCAAUGGCACACAAGUAAUCAAACAAAGCAAAGAGAGAGGCCAGGCCAGGGAGUACUGCUCCUGUACUUGUAUACGCUUGUCCAAGUGCUGUAUUCGGGCUUCUGAAGCAGUGUGGUAUCAUAUCAGUGCAAGCUUGAGUGGAAGUAGGCAAUAAAGUAAUAAAGAGAGGUCGGGUACUUGGUUGGAAAGAAAGAAAUUCCGUAUUGGGCAAGGGUGGAAGACGUUGCUUGGCCACUCCUUAGGGACAUUCUGAAAUUACUAGUUGUGAGUGUCAAUAACUUACUAUAAGGCACUCCUACUUAUUAGUUGCAUUCCGACUUUCUAGUUUCCUCAGUGCCAAUUCCAUUCUAUUCUGAGUUUCUUGUUUGGAUCUUAAGCCUUAUCCAGUAGUGGUCUGGUUACUAGUGUCUUGGCAGGUAGGGUAUGCUGGUUGAAUGAAGUUACUAGGCAACUCUGUAGUAGUGGAUUGGCCCCCGCUGCUAGUAUACGCUUGGUAGUUGACAGAGCAGAGGCUGGUUCGGUGCUUUACCAGAGGAGAGGGAUAGGUCUGACUUUAGGGUUUCUUUCUUAUAGUUAGUAGUGCUUUUGAGCUCCCCUGCCGCUGUAGUAGUGACUUUUGGUGCUUCUUAAAAUGGAGUGUCUUUGAGUGUCUUGGCCGGUCACGACUAACUGGCUUCAAAGCGACUCCGUUAGUGCUUCCUUGCCUUUUGAAUCUGUAGAAUAGUUGACAGUUUACAGAGGCCUCUAUAGUUAGUUUCUGGGAAGAGUCAAUUCCAUGCUUUGAUGCGCGUUGCUCAUGGGUUGGGUUUGCUCUGACUCUUGGGGUGCUCGUUGAAACAUAAGUAUCGGGGUGCUAGCUAGCUUCAUAAGAGUCUCCUUUCCUUCUGGCACCGGUGACCUACUUCCUUAUAAUAGAAGCUUCUAAUAUAAGAGAAACCCAGAACAAGCAAUUCUCGACUUCCCGCCUCAAAGCCUGUACUUUAUGAUUGAUUAGAAGCCGGUCCAACUCGUAAACUGACUAGUGAUGUGAUAGCACAUUCAUCGAGAAGAUAUAAGAAGGCCCUAUACUAUACUACAUUGCUAGCGCAUUUACAACUAAGAUACAGCAUUGAUAUAAGGAGUUAAAGAACGAAGCUAUUGAGUUAACCUGUGCCCAGUGGUACAGCCAACACCGAGUAGUACUGACUUACCUAUAAGUACGGAAGUCUAGUAACUCAUUAGUAUAGGAGUCAAGGUUCGAUGCUUGUGGUAAGGUUAAGCAAUGAAAGGGGAAAGUUUGGUUCCAGUCCCAGCUCCAGCUUAUGUAGAAAAGCAAGUACUUGACCUCGCAUCAAAGCAAUGAACUUUGUUCAACAAGUAUAGAGUAAGUAGCAAGUCCAGUAUUCGAGAGUCGGGGAGAGCCAAGGAACUACUAGUGUAAAGCAAGUAGUUGAGUAGUUUCAUCAGUAGUUGUAGGAAGACCGGUCCCUUAUUCUGAGUUUCUUAUUAGUGACAAUAGUUACAUCAGAGUUUCAGACCGGUAGGCCUUGGUCAGUAGUUGUUAGUUGACAGAGCCUAGCCAGUAGUUUAUGAGUGGAAUCAAAUUACUAUAAGUCCUGUGAGAGUUAAGUGAUAGUCUUCAUACCUAGUUGGAAGCUUAAUAGUAAGGCUCAAUGAAUAUGGUUACCACAAUGCCGCUACUCCUACUAAGAAUGAAACCAGGUAGCUCUAAGUAGAAGGGGGCUAAGCCUUAAACCAAAUACCACUGAGAUUCCCUGCAGCUAGCAGAGGUCUUAAAGCCAGGAAGCCAGCUAGGCAGUAGAAGACAUAUAUUGUAAUAAUGGGAACUCUAGCGGCAGAGGAUUUAGUAGGAAAGUUCUCAUCUGUAACCUUAGUUGACUCCGGAGAGGCUUUGAAGCAGAGCCAGAGAGGGCUAGGUUAAAGUCAGAAUGAAACAAGUAAAUCAAAGAAUAGACCCAAGUAAUAUAAGAAUGCAACGAGGUAGCCAAACUCAGUAGCCAGAUCAGAGGAGAGGUCCGGCAAAUCUGAUAGAGUUAGUUCGGGUCGGAGAAUUCAUACCGAUCAUAAGAUGCUGUGGAAGUAUCUGAAGCUGGAGAAUUGCCUGUUACUCGGGUAGGUACGAACCAACUAACAAUUACCCUCGCAUCAAACAAAGCCGAUACUUCUCUCUCCUCUUGAAACAAAUACUUCCUCGCCUCUCCCUGUGCUCUUAACCCACCCAGUCACUCACGUUUUCCCGUCAAACAGCCCUGCCGCACAACUGACGUAGUUGUUUGCCUGAUAGCAAAUAGAGAAAUAGUAGAAGACUGAACUUAGGAUGAAACUAGGCAUUCCACUUAAACAAUCACCAGAACUGUAACAGGAAAUGUAGACGCACUAACUGACUUAUAUAAGAGAACAGAUGAAACUCUCACAUUAGGGAGAACAGAUGAAACUCUCACUCGCCAAGCAACUAAGGAAGGUAAUCAAACAAAAGAAUCAACCCAGCUUCAAAGCCUUCUACUUACUAGUUUCUUCCCCGCAUCUGAUCUAUAUGCUUCUCUUUCUUACCAAGCCGACCUCUGCUCUGAUAUGGAAUUGUCCCCUUUGUCCACCUCUACUCUGCCUCUGCUCCUAUAACUUCAUUAAGAUUGCCAGGUCAUAUCCUCCUAUAUAAGAACAGAUAGAAUUGAUAUAGCUUUUCUUAUACUAUUUUCUACUAUGUUGGUACAUUAGAAAUAUGAGUAGAAGACAUAUAUUGUAAUAACUUCGUUAUGACUGUCACUUGCUGCCGCGUAACAUUAGUAGUUACUUGGCCGGUGAGACAAGCUAUUCUUACGGUGUUAAGUCAACUCACAACUCCUCUGAUCUUGCUCAUCUAUUAUAUAUAACUGAAUGAGGCUAAUCUCAUAACUGAAUGAGGCUAAUCUCACUACUUGCUACCCGGGCUAUGGCAACUAUGGAAAUUAUGACUUUUCACAGGCUCCUGCCGCCAUGAAUACAGGACUUGCUAAUAGCUCCAUUAAUAUCUAUAAAUUGAGUUCUUUGCUUUCGUUGCCUUUGUAGAAGUUGCUUGGCCCCCUUUCUGACCCGAUUGGAGCUGUCCGCUAUCAUACCUAUGACAAUUGGCUCCCGUUAGCUCACUUAUGAACUUGAACUGGGAAUUCUACCGUUAUAAGUAAGGGCAACAGGAACUGGCACCACCACUGGAAAGGGCAAGAAAUAGACUUUCAUAGCUGACCUCGCCUACCUCCUUAACAGCACUACCCAACUUACAAUAAGGGACUUACUAUAAGGUAAGGGCUAACUCUCACUCUUGACUUUCUCACUUACACUAGCCCUGGACUCUAAUCUAGCUCUGGCAACAAAAGUACUAAUUGAGCUUAUUGCUCCUCUCUGGCAACAAGACUAUAUUCCAGGCACAGCUGAUUCUAUUACUUCGGAUUCUAUUACUGCUGACUUCAUUCUGACUUGCUGACAGUAAGACCUCUCUUGCUCUUCUAACACUCCUCUGGCUCAUCUAACUUGUUACUACUGGAAAGCUAUCCCUAGUAGUUAUCAGAGUUGGCCAGGUGCCCUUAAUUAAUGCUCUAAAGAUAUGGGCUCAUAAUGCUGUAUUUCGAAUAGCCAAGACACGACUAAGUCCGAUACCAGUGCCGGGCAGACUUAUGUUAGUGCUGCUAAGGCUUGACUACUGUCCGCUGUGUCGAGGCAGGGCCGCUCUGUGUUCGGUGUUUUUAUUGUUUGUUAUAACCGAGUCCUUUGUUCGCCUUGGAAACUACUCCACUACCCUAGGACUCAAUAUCUUUCAACGCUGUAAGGCCACUCAUCUCCAACAACUGGAUCGGAUACAGAUGAACUUCCCGCUUCAGUUCAGAGUCUGGAUAGCCUUUAUGUGAUUAAUGUAGUUGACAUACCCAGACUGCCGCUACACUGACUACGUUACUUGGCGGUCAUUAGUAGUUGUUUGUCUAGUAGUUCCUUGGCUCUCCGAGUUACUUGGCCCUGGAUUACUUAACUAAAGUAAAGCUACCUCGCAUAUUCUAGUUUGAUCCUUGAAAGGAGAAAUCGGUAAGGUGGGUUUUCAGAAUUCAAGUAAGUAGUCCACAUUCCUAUUAGCAGUAGUUCUAUUUAGUAGGCCUCGUUAAGGGCAUAGGUCUUGUUAUAACAAGUUAUAUUCUUUGCCUUACUUGAUCAAUUCGAACUUCCUAUUAUACGAUGUGCUAUUACAUCAUCAUAUUAUUAUUCUCCCUAUCAUGAGGUUGGUUCCUUAACUAACAAGUAAGAACCAGUGCCGACAGUGAUGGAAUUAAAGACAAGGCAAUACAAACUUAAUCCGAGCAGAGGCAGACUCACUAGUGGGGGGUCUCAAGAAAACCAGUAUGGAUCUUAAGAACCAGAUAAAGCAGUGUCAGACUCAUGUGCAGUGACUAGUGGUAGAAAUCAGAAUCCGAAUAAUAAUACAGGAGAUACGGAAUGGAAGCAAGAAAGUCAGUAGCCUAAGCCUUACAUAAAGUCAAUUCCAUUGGUAUUGGUUCUAUUCUUUCCAGUAUAGUAUUAGGUCUUGUCAGCUUGUCAGCCUUCUUGUUAGUAGUUCUAUCAGUAUUCAAGCAAACAGUGUAAGGCCCAUAGGCAUUAGUGAGCUAUGUAGCGAAAGUAUUCAAAGCUGCUGUUCGAGUCGUUAGUGCAGUUGUUCUUGUUUAAGUCGUUAGUGCAGUGUUUGAUUAUGACAUUAGUAUUAGUCUACUUAGCACGGCUCUACUCUUAUAGCUCGUACCCGGAGCAAGGAAUGGUAGUUCGAAAGCAAGAAUGGAGCUACUACUUCUAAGAAUGAAAGGGUUGUGCAAGCUAGUAAAGGUUCGGUAACUACAUAUCACCUAAGAAAGUCAGGCAGGAGUCUCAGUUUGAAGAUGGGGAAAGGCAGUCUUGUUUACAUUGGUUUGAUUCUGCUCUUGGUAGGUGAUCCCAAUAGUGUUUUAUUACUCUCCCCUUUGGAUUAUUCUGAUAUUUGUUUUAGUUGGGCUCUUCUUCUUACUUUCCACUCGAAAGUCAGGAUACCUUUCUAAGGAAACCAAUAUGAAUAUAGCCCUAUGAGACUAAUAGUGAGAAGUAUUAGACCUAAGCACAUAAGUCACAGGCCUAACCACAUAAGCUAGUCUACCUCUCUUUGCGCCAACUCUAACUACCUCGACUUGAACCUAAAACGGACUGUUUCUCAUUUCCCAACUGCUUGCUAUCAAACGGAAACUCAUGCCCUUCACUCUGAGACUCAGUACUGUAAUUCUUGAUUAACCCAUUAGCUUAGCCUUACUUGUGGAAUAUUCCACCCUAAGGAACUAGUGUACCUUCUUGGCUUUCUACUUACUUAUUGAAUUCUUUGACUUACCGUAUUCUUAGUACGGAUCUCCUUACUUGCAUUCCAUAUCCCACUAAUAUACUACUUGGUAGAAUUCCGAUUGUUCGAAUGAAUUAUCAUUAUAGUGGCAAUUGGCUUUGUAAGGGCAUCCUAACUCCACUGACUUACAACAACUUUUAACUGGGAGGAAACCCGUACCCCUAUUAGAAUAGAAUUGGUGUUGACCAGAAUUGAGCUAGCACUAACAGGAAUUUCACUAUGACUUAAGAGAAUGGAACGGAUUAAUGUAAGAAUUAACUGACGGGUAAUCAAUCUUACUGAUCUACUCCACAUGCCAAGCCCUACUCAUACCUUGCACUAUGCCUUUCCCGAUCUCAUAUCUGUAGUUAACCCAUACCUCCCCUUGCUCGCAUUACGUAUUUGACUUAUUUGGGCUUGCUUUCCUGACAAUACUCACUACUUACUUGCAAACAACCAUUCCCGCCAAUGAGCCUGUGACCUUCCUUCAUCUAAGUCUAACUAUCUCCCUUGCUUUUCAUUUGAGACCUAGGCGCUUUUCAUGUUCUAUCUUAUUAGAAUCAAGAAAGAAACCGGUACUUCUCAUAAUGGAACUAGUGUAGUGGCAAACAGGCUGAACUUAACUACUCCACUAGAAUAGAGCCAUUGACAACCAGGCUAUAACUCAUAGCUAGGAAAUCCGAUAGUAACCCCAACUAGGAGAAAACCAGUGUCUAUUACAUGAGAAUGCAAUUACAAACAAGAGGAAUCUCACUUAUAAGUAAGAGCCAAGCAAAGCCUCAAAGCAACUACCCUGUCACUACUGACUUGAAAUGCUUAGCUUCAGUCCGAAACUCCUGUAUCUUAUUCUUCUAUUUUGACCUACGCUAGUUUAGAGUUAGAGUAGCGCUCGUUAGCUUCGUUCUGAGACUCCCGCCCGGCAUUCCCUCACCAUCCUAUGGUAUUCAGUUCAUCUAUAUAAGAUUCAUUUGUAUUUUAGAGUAUUUUAUUAGAGCAAGAAACUAGACGCCAAGGAACUAGAAUUGCUGAGUAAGUAUCUGUAUAGUUACAGUCUUAUCUGGAAAUUGGUAGUAGUGGAGAGCAGAGAAAGUAGUGUGGAACAGGGAAAGAGGUUUCUCAUCUAUCCUAGCGAAGUAAUAGAACAAAACACGGAAUAGGGUCAAAGGGGCUUUCAUAAGCGAGUUCUGGGGAAAGCCAACACUAAACCAUAGGGCAGGCUACAUCAUUGGAGACUGCUGAGCGGAGGACAUGUCUUUUAUUUCCUAUCAUGACCACCUGCCUCCAUUCACUGCUCCACAGGAAUCCGUUAACUCGGCUUGCUUCACUAUAAGGAUCGUUUUUACCCCGCGUAUGAUAGAUUGGGCUUUCAUACAAUAAAGGAUAAGAAAGAAUAAAGACUUCUAUAAUGAGGUUUCUGAAUAAAUAGAGUAUAUAGUGUCAAGUGCAAAUAGAGUAUAUAGUGUUCCGUUCGGGUUCUUAUAUGGGUAGGUAGUCCUUACUUAACUCGACCUUCAAACGCCCCAUCAGUCCCAUGCCUUUCUUUUUGAGUUGGAUCAAGGCGAUUUCUUUUGAUUGUUGAACUCCACUUUCUGAAUCAACAACACUUGCACCACCCCUUUUGCAGCUUACCUCUGACUCGAGGAACCAACAAUACAAGCACUAGGCUAGGAUUACACAAUCAGAACUAGGGGAACCAAAAUACAAUAAGGCAAUUCUAAUCAUUAGAAGCAACCGAAACCACACUUGCAGAAGCAGACGUUGCACUUGCGGAUUCUUUCUAUGAUUUCACUCGUACCCGAUACUGAAGCGGAAGAAGGUAGGGCAAUUCUAUAAGUAAGGUAAUCAGGCUUCUUUCUAGUACUAAUCGGUGAAAGCCGCCCCCCUAUCCUUCUUUGACGACUUGCCCUUGUAGUGGUCCAGUCCAAGCACCAAUACUAUACUUCACUCACAUAACUCAAUACGGCUUACUGCCUCCUCACUACUUAAAUAAAGUGUUGAAACAAGCAAUGUGACGCUCUAGUAUAGAUCCACUCCGAGGUAAUAUCACUACUCCACUCCAACAAUUGGCAAACGAGAAUAUAUUGUUUGAAAGUAAUCUGUGUUUGUUGACGACACCAGAGCAUAGAUCCAAAUAGUAUAAAGCAGAAUCUUAUGAAGCAGCAAGCGGGUCAGAAGUGUAGUUACGGACGGGGAUAGUUUGAAGUCAGACUGGAAAUAGAAGAAAUACUAACCUAACUCAGGUGCCUGCUGUAUUGAAUGAAACUCCUAACUCAGGUCUGAAACUCUGUUACUACGGACUCCUUUACUAGUAGUAGCUUGGCCGUUGCUUGGUCUUACGUAGUUACGCGGCGGUCAUUAGUAGUGUAUUGUCUGCUUGGCCCUGGGGUGUUUCCCUUAAAGAAGGUGCUGCAGAGAUCUUUGCUAGAGCUAGGAGAGGACAGGACCGCUUAGGUGAACUUCACUGAUCUUGAUAUACGAAUAUACGAAAUGGAUUCUGUCCACUUCGAUUCUGGUUGUUAUAAGAAACCCUUCUGUCUUUUCCUUUGCUUACAUCCCCUGUUAGAGAACUGGUUUUAUGCAAUGAAAUGUAGAGUCGAGAUACCACUGGCACAGGUUUCGGUGCUGGCACCGGAUAAAGCAGCAGAAAUAGGGCGGGCUUACGAGGCUACUUUUGAGGUAUGAGGGGCACUCCCUAUCGCUCUGAUGAACCUACGGGUUAGAGUGUUUCAGGGGGUAACUUCACUCCUGUAUUCAUAGUUCACGGCCACAGCUUGCCCAAACCGAACUUCUUUUUAUGCUGUCGGUAGCUCCGGUUUGAUGUCCAUGUUAUGAAAUGGCCGCUUAUUCUAUAACGAGCCCUUGUAAGGUAGGAUUGGAAUAUAGAGAAUAGGAUCUUGUAUAGCUACUGAUACACGUACUUGAGAUAGAGAUAGCCACGGUAAGCAUACACUCUCUCUAGAUACUCAAGCCACGGUAAGCAUACACUCUUCUCUAGAUACUCCUGAGUUCUCUUGUUGUUUUUGAAUGGAUUACUAGAGAUCUACUAUGAUAUCGAGAAUGCUAUCUUAUUUCGUGUUAUAGCUAGUAUGCUAUGGAAGGUGUAUGGAGAAGGUGCGGAACUACUAGGUGUAUGGAGAAGGUGCUGAACUACAAUGAUAGUAAACACAAUGCUCGCACUCAUUCAUUUCAAUUUCAUCUAUUCCUUUCCCCUUAAGUAAUUGGAACCAGCGCUCCGGUAAGAUGUUAUUUAUACAAAAAUAUGCAUUUAAAGCAGGGGGUUCUGGGCCUACGUGAAAGUAGGAUUUCUGGGCCCUCAAACAGUCCUGUCCUUUCGAAUUGAAUGUAAGUGCCCCUUAUGAUAGAAAGAAGUAACAAGGCAGCUCCGGACUUACCCGAAACUAGACUUCCACUCAUUUUGCAUAAACUCAGGAAUUGCACUUACAAUUUGGUGUCGAUUCAUCGAGUGCAUUUGAGAAUUGAUUGAACAACUCACUAGCAACCCUAUCUUGUGCGGAAGCAUAACCAGAUCUGAUCUGAUUGCCAGAACUUCAUCAUUAAUGGAAUCUAUCGAGUCGAGCGCAGAGGAUCCUCUUUGCAGGAGAAGAUUGAACUUACACCUGAGUAAACAAAGAAUUAGAAGAAGCAAUUGAAACCCUAGCGCGAAAGUCUUUGAACUUACCUUAGCCGAUGAAGACAGUUGAAAUCCAUUGGUGAGUUAGGAUAACAAGCAACCACGCAAAGAGAAAGGGCUGGGCGCUAAAGAAGGUCGGUAAAGGGGCAAUCAAUCAGGGAAUUCUCGUUGUUUCACCUAUGUCUUACUGCGCGAAUAGAGAAAAUAGCCUAUCUGGGCACACCUGUAACUGCUAUGGAAAUGCAUAUUCUAUUAAAUCAAUAACCAUAGAUCAGUUCCCAAUACUGACAUUGAAAGCAUCUUUCCUGUGGUGCGCCACAUUGAUGGUCAAAGUGUUCUUAUAUAAGUAAGUACUUUGUUUGAGCGAGCAGCUUCGUAUAUAAGAGAUGAACCUAACUGCUUCUUUAAUGGAACUUCCAAAGAAAAUCAUGGAAUAGAAUUGAGAGCAGAUAGUGCACCCAUCUAUCCAUUAUAGAUAGAAGAAAGUCAAACCGCACUCGAAACUCAUAAUGGAAUUGCCAAUUUCCCUGAAGCCCCUCUUGCUCUCCCGCUCUUAGUAGUAGCCGUAAGAAGAAAGAGAAUCCCCAGUGCCCAAGUCCUGUGUUCGUCUACCUGUUUUCGUUCCUUUCCCCUUAUCGCUGCGAAGUAAGAGAAGAGUGAAAGCAAGACGUUACUUCUCCGCUCUGAAGAAUUCGACUAAUCUAGAAAUACGGCCAUAUCAUCUGCACUUUUCAAAGUGAGUGAUAAACCGUGAGGAGUGGACGAAGAACAACUAUUCUCUUUCCGCUGAAAAAGCACUUUUGUCUUUCCUAAGAAAAGGGAUUCUCGGACAGUAGACCUUGCGCCCUUGACCUCAAAGCGUCCAGAGCCUGCUUGUAGAGAAAAGCGGUGGACAUGCAACUCCGGGAAGAAAUGGAUACUUUGAUUGCAGACGAGAUUUGACCUACCUUUCCAUCGAUCAAAUUAUAUGCACGAGCACCUCUGCCUAGCGUAUGUAUAAAGAGAAGAUGAAAAAACGAGAAUCACAGAAGUCAAAAGAGCUGGAAGAGGCCUAAUUGCCAUCAAGCGGAAGCGGUGCAGAAAGAAAUGGGGGAAUAGCUUUUCUCAGAGUUUCGAAAUAUAGAAUAGGGGGGAAUAGCUUUUCUCAGAGUUUCGAAAUAUGGUUGCUUUAAGAUCUUAUGUAUUAUGUUAACCAGAAGACAUUCAUACUGGGUUACCUAUAUUCUAUAGUUCGCACUAUGAGUUAUAGGUUUGAAAAAAGGAAAUGAGCUCCACUCAAAGGAAAUGAGCUCGUAGGGGACCUGAGCAUCAAAGCGUUAAGGCUUGAUUUAUCCCCACAUUCAAGUGAGUCAAUGGAUAUCAUAACAUUGAAGCGGCUUAAGGCCAUCGAUUCGAUUUUGGAUUCAGCAACCCAUAGGUAGAAGGCAGACUCGUAAGGUUGUCUUUGACCUGUAUAGUAUGCUCCCAGAGUCACUGCCCUAGGAAAGAAAGAUGCUAAGGCUAUUAUAUCUAUCUAUCUAUCCAUCCAUCUAUUUGUACAGAUUCCCCGUAUUUAACGAAGAAAGAAAGACCUUUUUAUUGCCCCAGCAGAUCCCCUUUGUCUUGGUCCAACCAAGAAAGCAUUGAAGAUAGAAAGCGUACGUGAUUCCGACUCCACUCCAGACUAAAUACUCUAACUUAUAUUAAUGGAAUAUUACUGAAUAGAAGUAGAAUAGUUGAGUCAAGAGGAAGAAGAAAGAGUCCAAAUCGAUCUUUAGAGUCAAAAAAGAUCUCUGUACUUUGAGAAUACUAUAUUACACAAUAGAAUCAUAGACUAUCAUCCCAUAAGAAAUUAAUAUAUGAUGAUAUGGCAUUCACUACAAUCUACUAUAUGUACUUCUUUCAUGUUCUUCCGAAUGAAUGGAUAGAGAGAAAUGGGAAUAAGCACUUAUAUUAUAAGAGUCGGUCACACAAUGUGCAAAAAUGGGUUGGUUUUGCCUCUGUGAUUUCUUGAAGGAGAAGGUGCUUCGAAAACUAAUGAACAGCAUUCGUAUUGGCGGGCGAAUCUAAAUGGUAACAAUAAGGAGUAGGUCGAACGGUAAGGCUGGCUAUAAGGCUCUAAAUGAAUGGUAACAAUAAGGAGUAGGUCGAACGGUAAAAGGCUAUAAGGCUCUAUAUAGAGAAGAAGGAGUCGCUUAGCUAGCACUGCCUCGAUACCUUCCUUCGGCUUUCUCUUGAUAUUCGAAUCCGAUAACUAUCAAAAGCAAUGGCCAAAGACUAGCUUAAGUACAGAACUCAACUUGCUAUAAUCGAAUUCUGUUCAAAUAAGUAAUCGAAGGCAGGCCAUUCAAAAGGGUAUCGACGGUAGAGAGAGCGAGACCACUUUCAUUAUCGCAAAAUCCCCCAUAGUCAACAAACCACUUUCUCCUUAAUAUUGGAUAGCUCAGAUAAUCCAACUUCCGGGUUAGUAGAAUUGGAUAUCUACCCGAGACGAGGGUUAGGCUUAAUAGAGUGGCUCGACCCUAUGGGAGAGGAAGGCAGCCUCUAGACUUUACCCGCUAAAGAGACCAAAAGUGCUAUGCCAGAUGUUUUAACAAGAAUAGCUCACUAGUUCCUUAUACUUGAAUGGAGAUUGGCACUUCUUUUGCUCGUCAUCCUCCUCUGCACUUGGUGAAGAAGAUGUUACUGCUUAGAGUUGAAGUCUAUUAUUCUAUUUUCCAUGGAAUCAUAGGAUCCCGGUGUCAAUUUGGAUCAUCCAUCUAUACCAAAGAAGCUACCCUUAAUAUACCAUAAAAGGGAGCGAGUGACUAGAUAGUUUCAGUUCAACGAAGAACGAAGAAUACAGUAUAUAGACGAUUUCCUACAUUCCAUUAGAAAGGCUAUAGGUGUCCAAAUCCCUCUCACUUUAAGAAACUAUGAGGGCUGGAAGGAUUGCUGUUAGCUCUAGAGCAUCCAAGAUUACUUAUUCAGAAACAACUAAAGGAAAGGUCAAAGCAUAAAGAGAAAGCGCACACCACAUGGAUUCCUACGAUACGAAAGAUAGAGGGUGAGUAGCUGGAAGGUAUUGUGCCCCGUUCAAGGAAAAGAAAAUGCCAUUGAUGAAAAAGCUAUCCACUGGAGAAGAUAUCUCUGCAGAGGAUUGAUGCCGAGACUAGAUUAUCUACUCGGGAAGGGCAAGACCUGAAUCGGAAAGGCUAAACCUUACUCAUAGGAUAAAUGGUGCGCGCUAAAGCUAGAGCUGCUCUUUUUCCCGAUAUAGGUGUCAUUUCAUUAAUUCAGUACUGAGGAUAUGGUCUUCCCCCGUCAAACAAACUCAUCCAAAAUCCAACUCGUGGAGCGAUAAUAAACAUCCUGACUAGAGCUAGGUUAGUUCGCUUGGGGCUUAUGGCGCUUCCUCUGCGUCCCGCUUGGCAGCUUUCCUAAAGAAGAGGAAUGCCUAUCGCUGAUGAAGCUAAAGGGAACUCCUCAUUAAUCCACCUUCGGGUUAGAGAAUGAAAAGGCUAUUAGAGAAUGAGAAAGGCUAAUAAGAGAAAAGGAAUGAACUCUAUCACGAAAAUGUGUUGCUUACGGCACGAGCUUCCGAGCCAGCUGCUGACAGAGCUCUCACUCGGACAGGAAGAGAGAUACAUCCAUCAAUCGACAGGGAUUCACUCUAAGAUAGCUCCCCCUUCCAUGAUGUGUAGUUCAGCACGGAAAGGACUGGUUCUGGGUGAUGGUUACUUCUUGUUUCGUACACUAAGCUUUGGGCUUUGACUUUUCUAAAAGAGAGCUUUCUUUUAUUGUAUAGAUUUCCUCCACCAUUGCUUUAUAGAAAUCCUCUUCAAAGGCUUUCAGCACCUUCUUUCUUUUUGGUUUGUGGGUGGUAACAAUAGGUCUGAUUCUCAAUUGAUCGCAUAUACUACCUUUUCUAAAACUAAGUGACCCUUAGAUAAAGAAUUGGAUUUCGAGAACAGAGUUCCGCAAUGGUCUUAUCUACAGCAGAGAAAAGACAACUAUAGGGGAGGCUCUCGAGAGAACCGCUACGAUUUUGUCUCACUAACAGCGAAAAUCCUUUGCUUGCUUUGGGAAGACUAGCAAUCAAUUUGUCCUUCUUUCUGGGUCUGGAAUCUUGUAGAUUCUAGCAAAGAAGGUAUUCUUAUAUAAAGGGAAAUCUUAUACUCGCCGGAUCCUCAGAUUGGUAAGAAUCUAAGUGUGUUUACUGAUUGUAUCAUCUGAGAGACCACCGAAGCGAAGGCGAAUAGUGGCAAGAAGGCUUUAUACCGGAUGAAGCUUUACUCGGGUAGGGACUGCAAAGUCUGCUACUUUUGAAACCGCCAAGCAACUAAGGAAGGUAGAAAACAAAAGAAGAAACCCGUAUACUAGCAACCCCGCUUAAAAGCCUUAUCUCUAUUCUUACCGUUGUGGAAUCCCACUCAUUUCAUAUCCCUUAUCUCUAUUCUUACCGUUGUGGAAUCCCACUCAUUUCAUAUCCCUUAUCACUGUUCUAUUACAUUUGAGCCUCCUAAAACAGGACUCGCUCCUAAAGGACUCGCUCCUAAAGUAAAGGACUCGCUUCUAAUACUUAUUUUUCUGUUGGUCGACUUGAAUUCCUCGCACUGUUGAUUCUAGAUACUAAGGAGACUGCUUAUAUCACUAAGGAAUACGGUAACCAAGGAGUCGUAGAUAAGAGGUAAAGCCGGGUGCUCAUGCUCAAACUCAAGAUGUAGGAUAGGUUCGGUUGCGAAAGACAGGUUUACAACCUAAAGUAAGUAGCCAGUGUUCUUUCAAGUGGAGAGUAAGGAGCAGGUUAGUAAGCAUAAGCAGGAGCAGUUUCAUAAGCAGCAUCUGAGGCAGUUAGGUCACUUUCUUCUAUACCAGGAGUUCAAAGUCGUGUAGUUAUUGUUGUAGUCGACUCGAGAGGUUCAACUUCAUAUUGGGGCUUUCAAAGCCAUAAGUGAAUCAGGUGCUGCAGCUUGUCCCGCUGUAGCUCAAAGUAACCUAAAAGUAGUCGAUUUCCGAUGGAAGUGAAGUUCGAGAGGCCCGCCCUAUUAAUGAUAUUCAACUUAAUGAUAGAAAGCACUCUCUUUUCUCCUGCAAAUAGAAGAUAUGCUCCCUAGUAUAUUAGGAGUUUAGUCUUACAUAGAAACAAAACAGGUAAUAUGGAAACGAAACAGGUAAUAUGACUAAUAUAUAUGCUAAUUGAGCGCUAACGUAGUUUAGAGUUAACAGUUCAAUUGAAAAGGAAAGAAAAGGGAAUAGAGUCUCUCGCUCGUAUGGAUCUCGGUCAUAUUCCUACCUUAGAUACUAGCCGCUCAAAGUAAUGACCUGAAUAGCCUGUGAGAGUUGAGUGUUGUAGUGGAGAAUAGCCUGGCGUUCAAGCUAGGAUCUGAAUCCAAAGCAGAAGAUAGAUCAUCGGCAGGAUAAUAAGCCGUGAGAGCACCUACUUUGGUUGCAAGAGCAAGAUAUGAAGCAAUCGAUUCAACUAGUUUAGUUCUUGGGGAAGAAUCAUAAGGCUUUGAUGCGCUAAGUGGUCCAUCCAAUCCAAGCAUCAAAAGCGGGUCUGAAAGGGUUGUUGGCGAAAGUGCAAUUCAAUUAGAAGCAGGGCAGUAAGCUAAGCAGUUUAUAAGCAAGGGCUAAAGUGUCACAGAGUGGUUAAGGCAAUUCAUUCUGUGGGUCCCUCUCGCUCCUUGUCGGUUCAUAAAUAUAAGUUGGAGUUUUCUCCUGAUUAAGAAGCCUCAUAUACUCUCAGUUCUCAUGCCCACGUAGCGGUUAAGUAUAUCUGAGAACUGUAGCGGAAGAAUCAUCAGCCGGAGCCGGGUAUUUACUUAGAUCUAUGCCAGGUGCUAAAGAGAUUUCAUUCCAUUCUUAACUGGAAGUAGAUAUCGGAAAAAGCGAAACAGAUGGUACGGCGCCCUACUAGCCCUAUAAGUCAAUCAGUAUCCAGGUACGAGUUAAGUUAACCAGAUAAUGAAUCAGCAGUUUCACAGUAUAAUAAACCUCAGAUGGAUAACGAUCUUAAGCAGAAGAUGGAAAGUAUCUUGGUGUUGGAUAAAGUCAGAGUUCAGAUGAAUAAGAAAGGGAAGCAGUAUAGAACUAACUUGGUAAUUAGAUCAGAUGCUGGAGAAGUGUAAAAGUCCGAAUUCAACUCCAAGGUCAAAGUGACAGAAGAAUGAGCUCUGGUUUCAUAGAUAUAUAGUAGCAGCAAAGGGUGUUAGAUAGAAAAUCAAGUAAUCAACUGGGUACGCGCGAGGUGGUUACUUCAAGUGGAUUGAGUUCUUUGCUUUCCCUUUGUUAGUGGUUCUGUAAUAGGCGCUUUACCUUUCUUGUCUACCAGAUCAGAAGCCACAGAAGAAUCCGAUAAAUAAGAUGGAGGUGGGGGUUCCGUUCACUACGCAGCAAUUGGACUCCUUUCCUUGGCUAUGGAAUCAGCUCUUAGAGUAGAAGAUUUCUUCCUAUCUCCGGCUGACGAAAACACCUGACCCCAGCAGAAGCCUACACGCGCUAGCCUAAACGUAAGGGCGGGGCCUUCCCCUUUGAAGCAGCUUGCCUUGAAGCUUGCAGUUACUUCACUCGCCUGUGGUGUAGAGGCUAGGAUUUCCUUUCGUCAGGUCUCGUAAGCUGAAUCAGAAGGAAAUAACGGCAUUGAUGCCAAAGAGAUAAGUCUAUGCUACUCGGGUUCAAGCCUUGUACAGCAGCUAGAGCUGUAGGAAAAAGAUAUCUCGAAAUGAGGUCUCAGGUCGGAUCUCCGGGGGCACGUAAAGGCUUCCAGUUUCAUCCCGCCAAAGCUACUACGUCCUUUGUUUAGGCGUUAGUCCGGACUCCGUUGGUGGUUUUACUGGUUUACUCGGAACAGUAGCAUCAGCUGUGCAAGAAUCCGUUAGACAAGUCAGCUACGGGAUCAAAAGUAGAUUCCAAGUAAGGAAAGGGAGUUGUUGACUCAACUAGUCACUAGUAUCAAACCCUCUUUUAAUGCUAUUUCAAGCUCGGUAAUUCAAUACGGAAAUUGUAGUAGAUCCGUAGUGCCCACUCUGAGUCUUAGUGGAAUUUCAAGCUCACUUCCUAGCAAUUACUCAUUGAAACUCAUCAACUUGCCAACGAAUGCAUUUGAUGCCUAUAGUAACGUCUUCUUUUGUCCAACUCUCUUUCCUAAGGCACAAGUCCAAGCAGGAAUUUCCACUCCUUACCUACCGCGCACUUAGUCUUGAUCCGAGUCAAUUCAUUCACUCGAAGAACCGCUUGUAGCUGACUUAGCGCUUCCAGCUGACGACUAAACUGCUUAUGAUUGUUAUACUGCUGAUUAUUGAGUAGACUUCCACUUUUGCCAAUAACCUCUCUUGCAGACAACAAGGCAAGGAGUUACAGCGGUACAAUCACUUCCUUCUAUGUAAACUGACACUAUACUUGAGACUACUGAUUCUCUCUAUGUCAACUAAGGUAGGGGUCAAAAGCCAAUCACUGCACCAACACAAGCAUCCAAAGAGUCCUUGACAACAUUCAAAAACUCCAGCUAGAGGAGACCAUGCUUACUUGCUACGAUGAAGAAAGGAAUUGUAAUAACUCCUUAUAAUGCAUUUCUUUAUGUAGUUGUAGUUAGUUGUCCGAGUCUUUCCCUUUGGCCGACCUAACUACUUCAGAUCUUUAUCAAGCUGUCAACUCGGAUUUGAUACUCUGUCUUCAAAGCUUCAAGGGAUUAUGCUUGAACUGGAUCCUCUAAGGCCACCGGUGGGAGGGGCGGAUGAGGUAGCGUUCUCUAUACUAUAGAAUGAUUGAUUUCUAGCAGUGAGAAUAGAAUAUCCGAUGCUGUUAGCUUUCCAGGGAGUGAUUCCCAUUAGUUAGUUGGGUCUGGUCUGACUUGAUUCUGGAAAAGACUGCUUCCCUUGGCCAUAAGGUAGUUCAUGCAUUGAUGCGGAAAAGUGGGAAUAUAGUAAGUGUGCCACGAGUUACUCCUUUUGUGACUCUGUAUCUCCUCCCAGGAAGGAUCAUAUACGGAUUAUGGAGUCUUGGUGGUUUAGGUUUUGUAGGAGCAUGGCUUAAUAAGGUAGCCCCUGACUCUCGGUCUUCAGUAAAAGUGGCGAAGUAACUAACAUGAAUUAGGUUAGGGGAAGCGCUAGGCUACUAUAAGGUUCUCUUCUAUAUAAAUAAGAUAAUAUGUUUGUGAGAAAUAAGAUAAUAUGUUUGUGAUGAAAUCGAUUCCUAUUCUUUGGAACCCGAUCCUCCCCUCCUUUCGAGCUGGGUAAUCUAAAUGCCAGUCUUUUCUUCGGUCAAAGGAACCUGAGCUAGCCACAAAGGCUUAACCACCAACUGAUGCGGAUGAAUUAGCUCUCUAGCCUAGCACCCUUUCCUUCUAACCUGAGAACAGGCGCAUCUCAGAAGGAAUUGUUACUUGCUUUCGGGCGAUGUCCUUACUAAACGACCGGAUAAGCUGCUAUAUAUCUAUUCUUCAAGUCGAGGUCGAUAAUUUACGUUAGGGGUUUGUGUUGAACUCCCAAGAGGUAUCGGUUCUGCGUCGGUUGAGUCUCAAGGAUAAGUCCAAGCAGGAGAAUAUGAGGUAUCUGAACCAGCAAGAGAACCUUCCACUUCUGUCCUGGAAUCUAUUAGUUUUCGCCCUUUUCUAGUUGAAUACCCUUUUCUAGUUUCAUGCGCUAUUCUAGUUUCAUCGUAUGUAGAAAGAAGCUCUUGUUCGAUGAAGGCAAUGUAGUUUGUUGGUGACGAAGUGGGAAUCAAAUAAUCUAGUCCGCGUAGAUGUAGAAGUGACAAGAUCUUUAUCAGGAUCAAGAGUAUUAUCAUGAGCAGUAAGAGAAUCCGCAUCAGCUGUGCGAGUCAGAGUAGAAAGGACUGUUUCAAGUAAUCUGUGUUUGCGACUAGAGAAUCAGAGGUGUCACUUGCUAACGGAGCUACACCGAGACCGAGAUCGUAUAAAACAAGGUAAAAACACACAACACUGUAUUGCCAGUUUGUUCCCUUGCAAGUGGAGUGAGGAGUUUCGUUACUUUUUCUAUUGUUGAGUCAGGAGUUGAUAAGUGAGUUAAGCAGUAAGGAGCAAGUCAGAGGGCAGCAGCAAGCAAGGAGACAAGAGUCCUAAUUUCUAGCUAAAGCGAGUUCCUUUCUUUAUCCCUUCCAUUUUGUAGGGUUAGUAACUACCCAGGUAUAAAUAAAAAGCAUAUCCCUUUUGAAAGCUUACGUUAGCCAAAAUAGGGAUUUUUGAUACUUACUAUGGAGGAUAGGAGAAAAGCUAGCACCGGGGGUCGUUACCCACUUUGUUAUAGGUGGAGACAGGCUCAUUCGCCAGAGAGCGUCGAAGCUAAUAAACUGCUUUGCGCGUAUGGGAUUCCCGUCCUCAGUUGUGCUAGGUCUGGUUAAACCCAGCCAUUGAGGUCUGUGAUGAUAAAGAAGUAAGGGCCUGCCUUGCUCUGGUAUACAGCCAGGUUGAAUGAUGAUGCUACGUCGUGUGCUUACUCACCUUCUAGACCCUAUGGAAUACAACUCAUAAAUACAAAAGUAAGGAUUCCAUUAUACCCUAUGGAAUACAACUCAUAAAUACAAAAGUAAGGAUUCCAUCGUGCUCUCCUUGCUAGCUUAACACGACCCAGAGGAAAGACAAGCUUGUGAUUGGAGUGAAGGAUAGAGGCAAAUUCCAGUAAUAAACCAGCUACCGACGUCAAUGAGAAUACAAGUUUCCUUACAAGUUGACUAGAGAUAUUCUAUUAAUCUAAUUACUAUUCCUCCCCUUUGACGAUAUAAUCAGACACAUUCCCCGCUGCAUCAUUAACUGGAGAAAAGGAGAAGAAGGGCGCCUGCAUUAGUGGAGCAGUCAACUUGGCAUCAUAAGAUGUUUGAAAGGGUUGAGCACCAAUAUCCAAUAUGUUUUUAUGCGAGAUCCUCUUUGGGAAGACAGGGCACCAAUAUCAUAUAAAGCACUCUUUCACUACAAGGGUGUUUCAACUCAUGGUAGGCUCGUCUCUCUGGCAAUAAGGGAAUGUCAUCUUAGCGCCCUCGCUUUCCACUCCGCCAAGUCACUUAGCAACUCCAAUAUGUAUUAACGGUGCUUUUUGUUGUCGACUUUCAAUCUGGGUGUUUUGCCUGACUUUCAUAAUAGGACGAGAAAUGGAUGAAAUGAUUUGUUUGACUGUUACAUUCCUAAAUUAUAUGGUAGGCACAAGAGAGAGAGAUUCCAGAAAUGAAGUAUGGACUUCCGAUCAAUUGUUUUGACAGAGCGCGGGUUAGGGAAGGGAGUUUUGUUAUGAGUUUGCGAGUUUACCGCGAUAGAUUCCAUUCUUCAAUCUGAGAGGUUGGUGCUGAGAGCAGAGGUUGGAUUUACCUUAGUUGGAGGGACAGGUGUUCAAUUCUGUAGUUAUUGAGGUAAGGGUUCAAUCCUUUAGUUCCGUAGGUCAGGGUUCAAUUCUGUAGUGUUGAGGACAGGGUACAUUAGCAGGAAGAAGCUUAGUCUAGUUAUAGGAUCUUAAGCCGGGGGUUAGUUCUUCGUUUAUUUGAAAGUGCAAUUCCAUUCAAGACUUUCCGUUCUUGGCGGAGAGGUGGAUUGACCUUAUCCUUCCUGAGAAUGCUUUUCUUUCCCUUUACGUGGUGCCAGUUCCAGCUCCAGGCGAGGAGUCCAAAUAAUCCAGAAAGGUAGCAGUAGAAAAGUCAUAAGUGGUAAGCUAAGCUGGACAGAAAGAAGUUGUUUCAUCCCAUAUAAAAGAAGAAAAGGAAGAUCAUCUCUUUUCGAAUGAAUGCCCACCGCUGUGUUUUAAACUAACGGAGUUUUUUGAAGCAAAAGAAAAGGGAAGCCAAGUCGAUAUCAUCAAGCCGGUAUCUGAAAAGAAAAUAGAUAAAUAACAAUCAGAUCCUAUAUACAAUGUAGAUUAGAGAAAUUCAUACCAAUUGAUAUGCGAAAAAAAGUGCAAUUUCCAUUAACGAGUUGAGGUCGUAGAAUAAGAUAGUAUAGGUGGGUCGAGGAAGAAUCAAAUCUCAAGUAAGCUAUUAGAGCAGAUCCAGCAGUAAGCAGUGAGGAAGCAACCGAACCUAGCUUAUGCCCUUCAUACGAGUUCUGUUCUCAAGUAAUCCGUGAAGUCGACUAGGUAAAAAGAAUCCGAUGUAUAUGUAUCUGAGGCAGGAGCUGGAUUAGAGUCCGGAUUAGAGUAUUGAUUAGAGUAAGGAUCAGGUACAGGCCCAAUCGUUCUCGUUGAGUGGAGUUCGCCACACUUAUUUCAUGCAAGUGUUGUAUAGAUCCGAUCCAGGUAAUAAAAAGCACUUAGAUGCUCUCAUCUUAUAUAUAUAGAGAGAGAACAUCUAGAGAGAGAGAACAUCUUAUAUCAACAUCUUAUAUAUAGAGAGAGAGAACAAGCACAAGCAAUCUGAUGACUAACUGGUUUACGAGAGAACAAGCAAUCUGAUGGACUUAACUGGUUUACAAGGCGCUCGAAAGAAAUCUUCCUGCUUGACAAGGCGCUGCGCUCGGAUGUCGUGGAGAGAGUUUCGGUUCUUGUACGGUUUACAGUAAAGGAGACCAGAGCAGAGAGAGGGGUUCGGUACUUUACCUUUGUUGGCUACGAGAGCUGUAGUUCAUCUCACACUCCGAUAGAAGAAAAGGCUCAAGUCAAAGCGGUAAGCCCGGACAAUCCGUUUACCUUUCUUAUGGCCCAAGUGGUAGAUAACCAGAUCCAUCUCUUGCUUCCUUACCUGAUCCUGCGUAUGAUCCUGAUCUAGUUUAUGAUCUUAUAGAUGAAACUCGCCAAGUCAUAUUACCGACUUAAUAUAAGGGCAACAAAUACAACAUUGACUUUUUCUUCUUAUUAAGAUCUUUCUUAUACUGCUUCUCUCAUUGACUUAACAAGAACAGAAAUAUACUUUACAGAUCUCUACUCCUCAACUCAAAUGGAAAUCCACUUGUAUUCCUUACUUAUAGGUUCUGGAACUCUACCACUUCAUACUGUCCGGUCAACUCUAUCACUUCUCUUACUGCCCGGUAAACAAAUCCAAUAGUCAUUUCAUCUCCCUCGAGCGCAUGUCAUAUCAUAUAAGAUGGAAAUAGUUUAGUCACAAACAUUCAAAAUCAGCGGGAAUUUCUUUUAGCGCGGAAGCUCCUAACGCCAAAGACAGGAAUAGAACAACUUUCCGAGCACAGAACUCAGUUAGCGCCGAGUGAAACAUUCCAUUAAUCUAUCGAGUGGUCUUCAACAAAUCAUUCUGAAAGUUCCCAGUAAGGAGUGAGUUAUUCCUCCAGUCUUGUUUCUUUGUCAGCGAGAGAAUCAGAAGUUUCAAGAUCUAAAGCAGAAGACGGAUUGGAAUUAGGAUCAUCAACAGGAUCUAAAGCUUAUUAAUUGCCUGCUGGAGUCUUUCUUUGUCAUAGAGAGAGUUUCGGGUGGUGGAAUUCCUAUAGUGAAAGAGGUGAUUGUGUUGGUUCAGAAGGUGAAUGAGUUGGAGUCGAUAACACCUCUGCUCUUGUUGGUCACUAAACGGAUUGUCGAGUUUAUGCUCCUUCCCUUGGUUACGAGAUAGGAAUAAAUAAGGAAAGGAACUACUCUCAUGCUGAGGUGCUGUCUGGUUAGGCAGUGCUAGAGACCCUAGCUACAUCCUCCCACCUACCAGCUCCAUUCUUUCUUGAUAGUUUCCCCGGGGAACAAGCUUUGGAACCAGCAAGUCAACAAGACCAACUUAUUAGAGAGGAGCCGUUUAAAGAUUCUUCCAUUCAAAAAGAAGAUAUAGGUUAGGUUUAGUGCUUUCUUCCAUGUUGGAUCAAUGAGGAUGGUGUGAUCUUACCUCUCUCUCGUGGCUUUCCCCAUCCAUCUGAGGACUCCCUCGUCUUUUUCAAUCCUUUCGGCAUAGAGUAGAUAUUCGAUUUAGAAACUUCAAAGGAGUACGGGCAUGCUUUAUUAGUAGUUUUGAGUUUGGCUAGAAUAAAACCUUCCUUUUCGAAGACUACGAGCAAAAGUCCACCUGAAUUACCUAAAAUGAAUCAAAAUCACCCACCCCAGGCUACGACAAUCUGAGAUCCGUCUUCGAUAGACAUGAACCUGGUGCGUUAGCCUUUCCGUUUUGUCAGCAGAUCCUAUUUCAUUCAAGCCUAUAUAUUCUAGAGGGUAGGGAAAGAUUCUCUGCGCUCUUUUACCUACCAUGGGUUAAUAGUGGUGGACCGAUCGACCCUUCCAUUCAAGCCAUAUCGUAAAAGCCUUCUCUUCUCUCUAAUGGUUUUGGUGCAAUGAGGGAGCGACUUUCACAUCAUAGGGUUCCGCAGUAGGUCGAAAAUCCUGAGCUUCGUCAAUAGGCGUCCUGGUAAAAAGGGGUUCGGUGAGGUUUAUUGGGGCUAAGCGCUGAAGUACACCGAGCCCCCGGUUUUGCAUGCGGUACUUCGUCACCGAGCCGUAGAUCCACCCGAUACCGCCCUCGUACCAUUCCCUUCUGAAGCUAUAGCCUCUCUCGUACCAUUCCCUUCUGAAGCUAUAGCCUCUAUGGAUAAGGUUGGAACAAUUCCUGCUGCUAUAAAGAAAGAAAAUGGAUGAAGUGAGAACUAAUAUCCUAUAAGGUGUUGGACUUACUACUCUUUAACUAAGAAGGUGGGAUUGUACCGGUCGACUGGACGAUGGUAGGAGAAAUCCUUUGAAAGGGCUAAUAUUUACUAACCUAUUGAUUUGAUUGGGCUUGCUUUCUUUGCUUUCUCUUAGCUUCCCUUCACUUGUCCCCUUUCUCUUAGCUUCCCUUCACUUGUCCCAUAUACUAGAGGAAUCGGGUUCUGGGUUUGCAAUGAAUCCACUCGCGCUUACUUACUUGAGUUUUAGGGUAUUAUUAAGUAAGUCCUCGCUUCUAAUACCCUUACAGCUACAGCUUUAGUAAGCUAUCUCUCUCUUGCUAGCUUGGGAAAGGCAUGAUAUGCUUGAAGCCGGCUCUCCUUAACUUAUGAUUUCCUUUGUUUUUUCUUCCUUAAGGGCCCCAUCAAACUCCAAUGGUCCUAUCGAACCAGCUAUUUCACCCUUGUACUGCCCAACCAGCUAUUUCACCCUUGUACUGCCCCUGGGGUGGGGGAGAAAGACCAACAAUCAAUGAUCUUGUUCAUUCAUAUCCACCCGUAUGCUAGCAACUAUGGAGGAGCGGCAUCUUUUCCUCCCCGGGCAUCUAGCUAAUGCAUCAUUUUGAGUUUCGCAUUCAUGCAUUGGAUCGCCCUUUCUCGUACUGUACAUUGUGAAGAUCCAUAUGUGCAUUAUAAUAAUAAGAGAAACACCUCUGGAAGUGAGCUACGGGCUAUUCCCUCUCGACAUCUGUUUAUCCGGAAGCAGCCUUUAAGUGCCUUUCCUUUCGCUUUUCACUAAUACUGGAUUUCUUUGAGCUUCACCUUAUUACUUAACCUUCUAACUAGUAAAUAUAUACUACCGUUAUGGAGUUUUCUCCUAGAGUUUGCUAUGAUGAGCUACUUCGUAUGAACUUCGGACUGCUAACAUGGUUACGUGCUACUUACUGAAUACUCGAGCACAACCUUCCUUUCUACGACUUCUUUGAGUUCUCUUUUUUCCCCGCCUAUCGUUGAUGCCUAAGCAUUCCUUUUCUCUAAUUUCGUUAAUAAAUCCGUUGUGCCUUGGCACCUUGCUUGAGCACUUGGCCCUGAGCCUCGAUAACUACCCGCCUAUAGAUAACUUUCAUGACCUGAUUCAGCUUUGACCUUUAUUUAAUACUCUCUGAAGCGCACUACAUACUCUCGUUCCUUUAUUUAAUACUCUCUGAAGCGCACUACUAUAUCUCGUUCUUUACUAGUUAACCUCUGAUUUCUAAUUCAUAGAUUCUCGCUAUCCUUCUCCGAGCUCCUACGACUGCUUUCUUUCUUUCCCCAUUUCCCGUUCAAGCGGUCGACCGCCUCCAUCAUUAGAAUUCCCCUGUCGCUAGUCAGUAAAGUAGUUAGUCGAGUGGACUCUCUGGGAAUAAAUGUUCAAGAGCCUGCGCUCAGGAAGCGAGCAAGAAGUUCAAAGACAGCGCAAAGGGCAAAGAAACACGUGUUUUAUAGAAACUAGAUGAGCUAUAAGCAAAUCAAUCCCCUUCUUUGAUCACUUUGAAAUGGGGUAAGACGUGGGCCAUCUGAUAUGAGGGAAUGUUAAGGGCUCGGCUCAACACUGAUCGAUUCCAUUUUGGAUUGGCGAAGAUGAUCUCUUUAGGGCAGUGUCCCUGGAGUCGUCCCACUUCAACAUCAUUUUCCAAUAGAACGCUUUCUCGAAGGCGAGAGUCGACCUUUCUUUAGAGGAUGAGGCUCAGGUGAAGGCAGAGCGGGGAGCCUACCGAUCUUAUGAUUCUUCGUUCGUUACUAUAGCCUUAACCACGCAGUCUUUUCUUUCUUAUACCUUCCUUCCCUUGUAGCUCCGCUUACUUAAUACAUGAAAUUUCGCCAUGCAUGCUCCUUUACCUCUGCUAUGGAAUUCAUAGGUUUUGUCCGUUUAGUAACUCUUUGCCGGUUCCUUAAGUUUCCACCAUUGUUAACAUACAUGUGAAUCCUCUAAGAUCAAGUGUCCAUCUCUUGGAGGUCUCCCGCAUCGCCAUAUGGUUGGCCAUGACUGAACGAGGCUAAUAUGAAAGAAAGGGAAUCCAGCUUUCCUCCGGAGCGAAGUCUUCGCGGAAACCAAAGAAAGAAAUCAGGAUAGAAUAGAAUCCCGCCUUGAGCGCUGAAAACAUAGAUUGUAAUAACUUCGUAAUAACUCGUACUUGCUGCCGCGUAACAUUAGUAGUUACUUGCCCGUCUCACGCUCUUCUAUUUGUAGGAUCGUCAUCUCGAUGAAUAAGAGUUCAAAGUGUAUUGGCAGUCGCCUCCUUGUGUCCGUUGUCUUUCAGACCUUCAUGCCCGCCAUAACCGUCCUUAACCUUUCUGUACCCUUAUCCCUUCUGUAGAUCGAAUUGUUUAACCCCAUGGAAUCCAGGCCUUCAGCAUUUACGCAGUCGUUCGAGCAGCCCUACGCAUUGUUGAAUCCCAGAGAACCCAACCAACCCGGGGACCCUUAUACUACGCAGCAGCAACACAACAGCGUCUUUGAAGGCUGGCUGACUCACACAAGUAUCAACAGCAGUUGUAGUGGAGUGGGGGAUGCGCCUAUUAGUUCUUAAGGGUGAUUUAUUGGCACUUUCCUUUGUAGUGGUAGCGCCCAGCCCAGCAACUAUUCUUUUGAUGAACUUAACCUUAGCCUUAGUUGGUCGUAUGCUAUUCUUUUGAUGAACUUAACCUUAGUAAAAGUAUAUAGAAGCUGUUCUCAUUUCCUCUGUGUUGGCGACGAUAUCUGAUCCUUAAGAAUCCCCCACAAGUAGCGGUGUUUCCCCCACAAGUGGCGGUUUUGUUGAAAGUGGGUCAGCUAACAAUUCCUCUAGUGGAGAGAGUUCGGGUCGAGGAAGAAUAAUAAGGAUAAGAAAGGAUAAGAAAAGAAGUUGGGGCGCAGAAGCCAGAUAAAUAUCUGACUAAGUUUGUUUUCUUAUAAGGUGACGGAUCUGUUGCAGGACUAGUGUUUGUUGGUGAUGGUGAAGGUAAGUAAAGAAUACUCGUUUCCAGCACUUGUAUAUAAGGCGUCAACUCGAACAGCUUACUUGGAAUAUUACCAAAUGCUAUCUAUAUAUGCUAGAUUCUAUUCCAUUCAAAAGGGUAACUCGGUAUUCCAGAAGUUUACAAAGAUUAUGUUUAUUAUGACCCAACAGCGAAUCACCUCUAUCGAUCGACAAGUAGCAACAGCGGAACAAUCACCUUAAACUCUCUAACACACUAGUUUCUGGCGGCAAUGGAGCUCCCCCUGCUCUUGCUUCCACUGAUGACUCAUAGCCCAUACUAUAUUCUUCCCCUCACUCGACAACAAAAGCACUUUCACUUUCCACUACUUCAUCGCCAACAAACUUACAAUAAGGGCCUGAGGCAAAGAGUCAAACCCAGUUGUCAAUCACAGAAUGCUGUUAAGGAGUGUAAGACUGAAAGCAGUGAUAACAAGAAUGUGCCCCAGCAGUUGAGGAGUGAACUAGCAGGUAGUAAAGUCAUAAUUGUCCUAGGCAGUAGAAGUAUUAAACCAGUGACAGGUGCUCCUUCUCUCACCCAGUAAGUAAAGGAAUAGAACUAAGUAGUAACAGUAGAGGUCGUGUCGGGUAUAGUAGAUAAUUGCCUGUUGAGGGAGUGUGAGUGGAAUACCAAGUUGUCAGAGUCGAGUCUACUUUCCUAGGAACACUAGCUUAAGGCAAGAACUGGUAGAGGUUAGUGGUUGGGAGUGUCAGAAUUGAACUAGUAAGUAGAAGCCUUAAAGCACUGAGACAGGCCCACAGAUUCUCCGAUGCUAGUUUCAGAAUUGAGCUAAGUGUAGUUAAAGAAUUCCACCGGGUAGACUCAGUCAGCAGUCUCAGGAAUUGACCUCAGAGGUGAGCCAGCCAGUAGGAAAGGAAGAAUCAAACUGCAGCAAAUAAUACUAAUAAAUAAGCCCAAUAAACACUUGAACUAGUGUGACACAACUAGAAUAGAACUGAGAAUACAAACAUUAACUCUCAAGUGGGAAAUACAGAAUGAACUUAAGUAGUUAGGGAAUGAAACGACUCUAUCACUAAGAAUUGGUCUAGGGAUCGGAGGAAUAAAAAACUCAAAAGUCCGCGGGAAAUAGGGAAUGAAACUCCGUAUUAGAAGAAUGCAAGGGUGAACAGAGGAAUCCGACUCAAUAGUAAGUAGUACCCUUACCGCAAUCAACUAAUAAUUAGUAAAUACAGAAUGAAUCUAAUCAGUCUAAGAAUGGAAUGAGCUUCACCAAUCUAGUUAUCUCAGGCAGGAAACUCAGAAUGCCAAAAAAGUGAGAAUGCUCGGGGCACUACAUCAGAAUUGAACCGACACCAAUAGAUAGAGCAGGAAUCCAGCAGGCAAAAACACAGAAAGCAGAAGACUGGGGAAGAGACCUCCGGGAAGGAGAUACUUCCCUCAGACAGGAGUACCAAUACUAUAUUCUCUGACUUAAGCUUUCUUGCCCUAAUACCUCAGACAGGAGUACCAAUACUAUAUUCUCUGACUUAAGCUUUCUUGCCCAAAUAUAUAAUAUAUAAAGAAUCAGACUUGCCCAAAUAUAUAAUAUAUAAAGAAUCAGCUACUUUAUUGAGAUAGAUUCCACAAAGAAUCAGCUACUUUAUUGAGAUAGAUUCCACAAAGAAUCAGCUACUUUAUUGAGAUAGAUUCCACAUUCCAAAAGUGGAAAAGAGGUGAAACAACACAAAAGGGAUAUUCUCGUCUAUGGGGGAGUGGGCCAAGCAUGAAUUCAGUGACGCAGUAGCUCAAACAAAGGAGUGGAUUUGAAGCUACCUAGCACAAUACUGAAUACUGUAAACAACAAAGCAUUGCUUUAGAGAUUGAAGGUAGUGUAGCGCGAAAGGAACACACUUCGGGCAGUAGGAAAACUAAUGAGAAUGGAAUUGAGCUCUAUAUACACUUAAUAUUGAAAUACGAGUGGAAAGAGAACCUAUAACGCUGAUGAAGAAAGGACGGAAAGUGACCAUCAGAAUAAGAAGCAACCAAAAAGUCAGAGAAUCCAAGGGCUCACUAGACGGUGUUGUAGGCUGGAGCUAAAAGUAGUAGAUUGGAGUUUUAGUGCAGAAGAACUCCGAAUUCGCUUUUAUGAUGGACAACUAUCUGAUAGACAACUAACAUAAGAAAGAAUAUAAUAUAGAUAAGAAAGAGCAACGUAUAGAAAGAAGCAAGUGAGUAACAGGAUACUAGGAAAGUCAGCGCUAAAGGAAGUUAUUCAAUGAAUUCUAAAGAUAAGGGAGUUUAGUAUAGAGAGAGGGGAGUAAGAGAUCGAUUGAACAAGUCGAGUGAGGGUCGGAACUUAGCAUCUUAACUUCCAGUCUUGUUUGGGGAAGAAUCAAUUCCCAUUUGAAAUUGUUUAAUAAAUUGAAGAGAAAGUCAAAUCAAAUAGAAUGCCCCUACCCUAUUUACCAGUAUAAGAUUCAUGAAAAGAGUCAGACAACCCCUUGUUAGGAGCUAGCUAUUAUUUGAUAGUAUAUGAGUAGAAGUAUAUGAGUAGAACAGAAAUUAGAUAAGCGCGACUAGCUCAGAAACCACACAAAGACAAACACAUGGAGGCCCAACUCAUAAAUCAUAGACUAACCAAAGAAAGCACAUGGGGAUAUUGGACGCGUGUCUAGUUCUCAUUGGAAAGGAAUCGGCGUAAUAUUCUUUCUGUCUCCCGCCUGACACAGUUUUACAGGCGGUGAUACCUGAUUGGCUCCAAAUCCAUAGUUGUCGAAAUAAUCUAAAGAGAACAAGCCUUUGAAACCGGGGUGACACAUGGUUGUACUGGUAAGCUUUGGGCUGGAGAUUGACGAUUGACUGAGCGUGCUUUGGCAACUCGUGGUGGAGUACUCUCAGACAGAUUAGCUCGCCAGCUCCCCUUGCUUAGAAAAUCCAUGUUUGGCAGAACCCCUAUCUCUUGAUUGAUCUGAUCAGACGCUUUUUCCCAGUCGGUACCCUUUACUGCUCUGUAAGUACUGAACUAGCACUAGCAAUAGCUUUUUCCAGUACAUGUAGAACCUAGUAUGAAAACCUUAUGUAUAUAAGUCCUAGAAACUCCCGAAUACAGGCACCUGAGUUAGCUAGAUACUAGACCUCCACUCUUGAAACUAAUACUUCUUGAAACAAGCUGCUUUCUAAUCUACCUAUGGCUACACUACUAUACGGGGCAAGAACUAACCUUUAUGAACGGACCUUGAACUUCACCCUCUCUUUACAGCACCUACCUGACCUCAUAAGAGAAUAAGAGUAAGCUAGUUGUUUCAUUAAAGUGAGUUGUUUCAUUCCCGAAGUCAACACCUCUUCUUCUCUGUGGGCAUCAACACCUCUUCCUCUCUGUGGGCCAAAAACAGGAAGAGCCAGAUCCUGCUGUAAGGAAAGUUAGCAGUAAUAGGUAUAUCAGCAGAGUUAGCAUCAGUGUGUCAUCAUUGGAAUUGUUGUUCGUAGUAGGAAUCUCUUAAGGGCCGCUUGUUCACUGGUCGGUCUGGUCUGCCCUGUUUUAUAGGCUUCAAAUGCAAUUGAAAGCGAAUGCGGCAGGGAGCUAGCCACUACUAAUCUAUUGUAUGUCCAUAUCUUAUAUGAAAGUGAGAAUCAAAUCAAUACAAAUAAGACCUAAACUAUAGGGAUAGGGCACAGGAGACCAACUACAGGUUUUAAGGAUAUAAAUACCACAGCGGAUCUAGCUGAAAACAGCCCCUACUACCUUAGAGCCUUGCUUACUGCCCUGCCUAAGCUGUCUAUAUCCUCUGUUUAAGUCUCCGAACACUGACUUCACAUCUUUAUCUAACGCUUACCUCGGAUCUGAACUACCCUUCUAGCAUUCUGACCUAACCCAUAAAUGGUGUUUCUCAUAAUUGAACCAGUGCUUCUAAUACGCUACUGCCCUAACGAAUAGAACUAGUGCUUUUUAUACGCUACUGCCCUAACGAAUAGAACUAGUGCUUUUGAUUCUGACUUUAUGUGCCUAAGAGCCUGGGACUACUAUCAAUAAGAGUUGGACUGUAAACCGUGAAUCCACAACGACUACUAGAAAGAGUCAAACAAGGAACUAAGGCUUAAUGCCUAAUGCACUAACCAAGGCUAACUAAGGAACUCGACUACUGCUUCUCAUAAUGCAACUAGUACAGGUAGGACUGACACUGCUUCAUCUCAUUCCGACAUUCCUUACCUUGCUUCACUGUCUAUGAGAACUACACUAAGGAACCCCGGCUAUAACCAAUGGUAAUAAGAAUUGGCUCCUAACCACCAAUAGAGGAACCUAGCAUCUAACUCAGUGAAUCAAACUCAUCACUCAGGCUUAUGCUCGAACAUAGGAGUCGACAUAAGGAACUACAUAAUGGAACACGACAGGAGUAGAAUGCAUCAACCACAUAACUAGUACUUCGUAUUGUAUUAUAACUCAUAUUCCCUAGGCACCUACCAAGCCUUAGACGCCUACAGGAAAGAAUGUCACUCGAUACCUGGGUCCUGUAUUCUAUAACUAAUAUAUGUCACUCCGAACUCUUGUUUGCCCUCUUGCUCCGUCAGACUUAUACUCCUUGACUAAGUUUGUAUUUCCCUACAAUAAGGAUUGGACUCCCCUACUGACUUUCUUCCCUUUAACUCAGCCUAGUGCUACCUAGAUAGGACUUAUAAGCAUCAAUCCACGAAUCAAGCCUGCCCUCCUACCCUUCACUAUUAUAAUUCACCUGUCGAUCGGUCUGCCGGGUACGCUUGUCUUUACCGUCGUUGCUUGGCUUAGUUUAACUCACUACCGAAAAGAGUGGAGCGGCCCAAAGCACUCAUUUAAAAAGCAACAAUAAAUAGAUUCUUUGUUAUUUCUUAUGGCAGCUAAGCUUGUAGUCGUAGCUUGGCUGGCGCUUGGCCUAAGAAGUUUGACUAUACAGCAAAAGAAUAAUCAAUGCAAUAAGGUAGUUGACAAGCGGGAAUGCAAGCAAUAGGCUGCUGGGCUGGGUGUGUGCGCUCUAGCUUAAGGUGUUCCUCCGAGGACUGGAAGGCAUUAGUCGAAAUGCUAGAUAUAGUUGGGGUUGGUCAAGAAGUAGUGUUUCGAUUCCCCGUUAAGAGCUAUGAUCUUGUUGGCAUUAAUAUAAGAUUUCAGUAAGGUAAAGUAAGCUUAGUUGUCCAGGGAUAAAGACCAAUAGGCAGUGAGUAAGGAUUUCCGUAAUUAAUCAUAAAUGCACUACAACAUAACUUAUGGGGCGAUGACAGCAAAUCUCACAUGUAAUACUCUCUUUGGUUUGAGUCCUACUUCACUUUAUCUUAUCUUAUUCUUUUACCUAAUACCCUAUACAGCUUCCUCGCGUUCCUCAACUCUUUAUGCGAAGUCUGCUUUUCCUGGCCUGGCUAUCGGUCUAUAUCUCUUUGCUUCCAAACUAGAACCACUGCUUCCGGGGCUUUGACUACUGACUUCGAAGGCGUAUUACCUUGUCUUUGAUUCUUUAGUGAGAGUUGGGGUUCGCUACCUCGGGGGAACGAAACAAACUCCAUAGCUACUGAUCCGAUCCUAUGUGUUUGAUUGCUAGCCAGCUCUUUUCCUUGGUAACCUGACACUACUUAUUUCAAUUAGAAAACUCAUAUUCUAGUCAAGCUAUCAGGCUACUCUCUGUACUGGUAAGGACGAAAACAGCUCCUAGGGAACUAAACUACUAACUAACAGGCUGGGCUAUGUGAAUUGAAAACCAGUUUGUUUGAUGGUUCUUUGCUUUUGUGUUAUAUUGCCUGCUCUCCUGCUGCUUUAUAGCCUUCCGAUCCCGAUAUCCAUUCCAAUUCGAUUGUUUCAAACAGCCCUUCCUUAGUUUCAAGCUAAACCGGCUUACUUUUGUCUUUAGCUACUGACCCCUCUUAUGAUAAGGAAUUGAAUCACUGCUAACAAGGUUGUCACAGCUACUGGAAAGAAUGUAACCACUACAGAUGAGAAUGCGAAUCAACAGUAUAAGAACUCGAUCUAGUAGCCCGAGCCCAACCAUUGAUACGAACUCCGCUUUUCAUUGUUAGCACUGCACCCCAAGCCCCGACUUGUAGCUAUAGAACCUAACAGCAAUUCUGAUUCCUUUGCCGAGGUCCCUGGCUCAUUCUCUCUUUUCUUUAUUCAAUUAAGUAGUUUGCAUUUCACUUAGUAGUCAGAAGGUAAUGCCUGGCAAACCUAGUCUAUUUCACCCGGAAUUCAAUCAAUAAGAAAGAAACCAUCAAUCAAUAAGAAAGAAAAACAUAAGUCAGACUUAGUAUUGUAUGACAUCCGAGGCCCUAAUUGAUGUCGAAAGGUAAGAGUAUCAGAGCAGUAAGUCAAUGAAUGAAACCUAUACUAAUCAAAAGAAAACUACGAAUAAGGAAUGUGACUAACGAGCGAUACUUCAACUCCCAAGUAAUAAUAAGUUGGUGUUAGGGAGUAGCUCAGAUAUGGUGAAUAAGAAUAAAGAAAGGAACUAAAUAGUAGUAGAAGUAUAAGCCUGUGUGUUAAUAAUCAAUAAUUUGAGAAGUAAGUCAAAGAAUGGGCACGUCUCUCAGGGGAUUCAAAAAGAAUAAAGAUGUUAGAUCCGGAGUGGAAGGUUUGUGAAGUCGGAAUUCCACUUAUAAGUCAGUGAAUAAAGCCUUACUUACGGAUUUGAACUUAGUAGUAUCGGAUUUCAAACUACAAAUACAGCAGAAUCCAACUUGGUAGUAUCAGAUUGACCCGUGGAAUAGUGUAUAAGAGGAACAACUCAUCUCAUUGGUGAACUAACACAGAAGUGGGGAUACCAGGCUAAGAGUAAGAGUUAGUAGUAGAAAACACAAACUAUAAAAGAAAGAAAGCAAGUACUCUAUUUUUCCCUUAACCCUAUGCCUCAAUCAAUUCUGUUCUUUUUGAUUCCGUUGCCUGUUCUGGAAAGCCAAGAACUGAUCUCGUAGACACCACUGGACAACCGUACUCUACGCCGAAGGAGCUACUUCACCGACGACGCAGGGCAAUAAGUGGUAGAGUGAAAGAAUACUAAUAAAGGAAGGUACAAGGAAGGCUCUUGUGCACCGGGCGGUCAAUAAGUGUAUGAGUGAAAGAAUACUCUGAAGUGUGUUAGCUUGUUUCUUUAGCAGGUGAGGAAGAACGAUAAGAAGCUAGAAGAUAUAACGGAGGGGGCAAACAGCGCGAGGAGAAAGUAUACGAGAGAAGAGGUAAUUGACAGAGAGGUUAUAGGAAUAUCAUAAUUUCAGAGAUCUACUCUACUUUAACAUUUCGACUAAACCCCCAUUUUAGCAUUCCGUACUUUUCGCUUCUGCUCUUUCAACUCUCACGUUACUUUCUUUCUUAUGAUACCCCAUAGGCUAAUUAUUCUGUUUCAAACAUAGUAGCUUGGCCAAUUACAUUUUCUAUAAUAAAGUAACAAAACAACUUCAUUAUAAAGAUUCCACUUCUUACUGCUUGACUACUUUCAUCGUAUGAUGCUCUCCAAAGAACAAUUCUUCUCAAUAAGUGGGAAUCCCAAUAGUCAAAUAUUCUAGUGGCUUCAAAGCUAUUCUAUCACUAGAGCGCUUUCCUUUCUCGGGAAUUGUAGCCCCUUACUUAACCGGGAAUUGAAGCCCCUUACUUAACCUAACCAGCGCUUAUCGCUUAAAGCCAAUACUAAGGGGAAGACCAUAGACGGCACUGUGGAUGGUAACUUAUCGAGGUCAUUUCUGAAAGCCAAUAAAUCAGAGGGGAAGGCCGGAGACUCCACAGUGGAUGGAAGUACAACUAAGUUAACACUCUUUAAUGAAUGCAGGAACAGAAGAGAAGAAUGUGGGUCCAUACCUAUGAAAGAAGGUUGGGGGACUGCUAAUCCCACUCUAUGUCUUGCUACCUAUGACUGCUUUGUCGACUCUGUUGACGGAGUACGCCUCACAGCACGGCUAAGGAGGGAACUCUCUCCUCUCUGCGCAAAGAGAAAGUCUUCCUUUGAGACAACUCUACUUAUGCAAAGAAAGAGAAAGUUGGUACUACUCUACUUAUGCAAAGAGAAAGUCUUCCCUGUUUUUUUACUACUCCACUCUUCUUUUUUCCGUUCACUACUAUCGCUGGCUUAGCAAGUAAAUGAUUUAUAUCCGAAUCGGUAGACUGCUCGUUCUAGGCCCGUGCUUGGAUGACCGACGAAAAAGCAAGGUAGAAAGUAUCGCCGGUUUGAUAGAAGGAAGAAGGAAGUCACUUCUCCGCUAUGAAAGAUGAGUGGAAUAUACCUUAUUUCUCUCUUUGGCCUGUGUGGGCAUUCGUCUUAAAGAUCGGGGAGUGGUCCGGCUCAUGGAAAGAUAUGCUUUAGACAAGGGUUAGGCACCGAAGAUGAACUUAGAACAUGGAUUUUCCUUAAUCACUUUGAAAUCGUUCAGGACCUUCUUUCUUUCCUUCUUUCCUUUUGGGCAUGUCGAGUUGAGUGAGAAACGAUAAGUAGCAGCUUGUACGCGACACCCCGAAAUCAACAAUAAAGAUUGGAUUCUACGGCUUGGCUUUCUCAUGUAAGUAACCUCCUUCCUUCUUUUACGCUUCUAGGCAAUAAUAGAUUAUACCUUGAGUCUGAUUAUACCUUGAGUAAAUAAUAUAGAUUCCACCUUCAUAGAUUAUACCUUGAGUUAAUAAUAUAGGGGAGUAUACAAGAGGAUUACCACUUCCAUACUACUACUAAGUGUAGCCAAUGGUGCUUCGCGAGACCUUUUCGGUCCACACUGGAGAAAACUCGUAUUCGGUUACUCUUUCCUCUUCCGUUCAAUUGUACGUAGGACCAAGACCAUUCGAAGGUAGGUGGUUACAUGUCGAUAUUGAUGUUGCUUUCGCUUGAAUAAGAAAUCUUCUUUCACUCCAACGGAACAAGCAAAAGAAGAAACAUUAUAUUACUUAUUGUUUCAGGGCAGGGGUGCCUUAGCGAGCAGAGCGCCGAGUUGCACUGAAUUAGCGGUUAAAGUGAAGUGGUAGGUGGCAUCGUCUAACGUAUAUUCGGUUCAAGUCUUUCUCGAUCAAGGGGAUUUGCACUUCGAUUGCCUUUGUAUUCAGUCUACUUUCUGUCUUCUUAUUCUUGGAAGAUAGUGGUCAUGGCUCGCUGAUAUGUAGCACCCGUCCGGUAGUACGAAUCGUGUUCACACUUAUCUUUCCCACUUCAAAGAAAGAGUGCUUGAUGAUAAUCUCGAAAACCCAACUAGAUUCCCUUCAGAGCAGGUAAAUACUCUAUUCCCUUCAGAGCAGGUAAAUUGAGAUCGAAAGAAAGCCUAAGUACUAAUGCGCUUAACCCCUACUGCAGCCAAAGUUAUAGCGGCUGUAGCCGACGAGGUCAACUUUCUAUGUGGGCAUAGGACGUAUCAAUACAGAAUUUUCUCUCUAUUAUUUGAAAGGAACUAAAUAAGUGAGUUGUCUUGGGUUGAAAGGAACUAAAUAAGUUGGGUCAUGAGGAGCCGAAGAGAAACAACCCCCUGGCGCAUUUAGGUUUUGAUCAUAGAAGGCAGGGCAAGAAGGCAGAAUUCAGAAAGAUUUGAGCGCUGAAAACAAACAUCUAUUGUAAUAAUGGGAACUCUAGCGGCCCCCAAAACAGGAGUUGUGUUGAUAGUGGAAUGCAAUUCCGUUAUUACCGUGACUUUAAGUUUAAGCCGAGUUAGCAAAGUCUUGUUCUGCUAUUGGCAUGAGCAGUGCGGGUGUAGUUCCCAACGAAAAAAAAGAAUGGACAUCUUAUCUCAUCUUUUCCUGCUGAUUUGAAUGAACAAAGCAACUAAUACUGUACCCCUUCUCCUAUUCAAAUUACCCUGUGGAUCAGUCUUACUAUACCUUCCAUCGACCUGCCCUCCCUCUGACUUUAGGGUCGCUGUCUUGCUUUUGCCAUAGUUAGGAUUGAUCGGUUGGUGCACCACUUGUAUUCUGUAUUCUGAUAUUUAGUAUAGCAGUUAUACGUUGCUUGGUGGAUCCGGAUCAAUAGCUGGAGAAUUCUCAUAAGGCAGGGUGGACUUACAAGCAAUAGUUAUAGUCUAGAGCUAGUAGCGGUGGAGAAUAAGAUGUAGCAAUGGGGCACUUUCUGGCAGGAAAGCAAUACUAACAGGUUCAAUAGGGAAUCCAAAUAAGUGGGGGUUGGUUAAAGAGUCAAAGACAGGAGAGGCGUCCGUAUCAGCAUAGUCUCAAUUCUUAUCAGUAGGAGCUCCAGAGUGGACAAGUGAAAUACUAGAUUCAAGCAAGUAAAGGUAGCCCUGGAAGUAGUGACUCAAUUCUCUCUUUUGAGUGAUCAAGUCUGAAAGGCAGUACCCGUAUUCUAAACUUAAAGAAUGGAACUCUCAACACGGGUUAUAACCAAGUCAAUCAAGUUUUCGUUGAUUUUUGACUGGAACUGUUGCUUCUCGUACUGUUCCUCGUAAUAAAGAAGAAGACUAUUGUCAACCGAGACUCUAUGCUUUGGGAACUCUCUGUAAUCCAACUCAUCAGUAAGAGAAUGAAGCACCGAAAAAAGAGAAAAAGCACUCGAGCAGUAACAGGUAAUUCUACACUCCCAGCUUCAAAGCCUUAUUCCCUUGCUUAAUAGGAGUCAAAGCCUUAUACCUCCAGUCGAGUGCCGAGCUUAGCUCCACCCUUACUAUCCGCUCUAUCAUUCCGUAUCUCUGGAUUCAAACCAAAACUCCCAGCUUUGAGUCCAACACUUCUGCCUUUAAGAAUAGAGUUGUUACUUGUCCAUAACUAACUGACGCUAGAAAACUACAGAACUAAUAAUAACUCUUAAUAACUCGUUUAUUGCUGCUCCGCUCCUACCCUAAUAUAAAAACAGAACUUCUUAUAAUACGUUAUAACUACCUAGAGAAUACAUACAUACGGGAGAAGAACUAACUAUAGUACUGUUGCGCCGAGGAAGAAAUUCCCAUAAUUCUUUUCUCCGAACUGAUACUAUGCAUCUUAGGAAUGUACCAACACCAGACUUUCGAACUGUUUCUUUUCACUCCGUUAGUGCUUCUGAAGCGAGGUUAAGUGGAUGACCUGAAUGCACCUAAUAAGUAAUAACCAAUUCGUGUGGGGAGCAUUAAGAAUCUAGUAUUGCCUAAUAAGACUGAAAGGCAGAAGUGCCAGAUCAACCCCAUAAUCCAAAUACGGAUACGGAACGAAGCCACCCGCUUGUAUCCAGGCGAGGCAGGUAAACUCUUGUACUAGUUAAGUUCAUUCUGCCCUUGCCCGCGCUCCACUGCUACUAUAAGUUAAUAAGAUAAUAGAUAAAUGACAAAACCCAUUCUAAUAUACUUACACAAUUAAUGUUAUUAUUAUAACUUAGCGUAAUAUACUGACAUUGAAGCAAGAAAGAGAUAUAGAGAAUCAAAUAAGUCACGGUCAGAAUCUCACUACUAAUGGAAGGAAUAAGCAGUAGCAGACCUAUAUUUUUUAGUUGAAGAGCAACCCCGGGAAAGUCAGAAUCAAAGAAAGAAGUAGGAAUCAACACCCCAGAAUGCAGAAUUGAACCUCUGUUGCUGGGAUACCGGGCUAAGACACUCAUUCCGCUAAGAAGAAUUGCACACAUGAAAACAGGGAUCAACCGAGGUAGUCCAAAGAAUAGAGCUAGAGUCCGUAGAAGAUAGAAGCUCAUAAGUAGGAAAUCAAUAGUGCCCCGAGACACUAGUAAGUAGAAGAACUCACCUCUAAAUUAGUAAUUCCACUCGAAACGGGAAUUCAUCUAGUACUGGAAAGGUUGAAACAAACAACUGGGAAAUAAACUACUGAUAAAAAGACUGGAGCUGGGAACUAAGCCCUUAUGCCCUUACAAGCUUGAAAUCUUCCUCUGCUUGCUUUGAAACUGAGCUAUCCCUAUCUUCUUCUUAAACUCAUUGGUAAAGUGCCUCUAUGUCCAGUGCCUCUAUAUGGAUAUAAAAGAAUAAGGUACGAUGUAGGUACAUCGAAAUAGACGAAACUCAACGAGAAUCAGAAUGGAGCAAAAAAGGCAAAGAAUUGAAGAAAUCACUAGCAGAAUUGAACCGCUGCUAACCCUGGCUUGCUCUAAAAUUAGCAUCACCCGAUCUACGGCGUACUUCCCUUUCUGGCAUUCUGACCAUCCUUGGUCCACUCUGGAGCUCCCUUCUACUAGUCUAUCCUUUCCAACUCUUAUUCUGACCUUGUGUUCACUACUAAACUAAUGAAUGAGCUUAGGUCUGCUACUUCUUGGUGUGAUGUUUGGUUCUUAUCACUACUCCUACUAGCCUGCCCCGGCUUACUUGAAAACUGACACCGCUGACUUAAGGAUAUAACACUACCCUCCACUUGAAGACCUUAACUAACCUACUGCUCCUUUCUUCGAGUCUUGGUUGCGAGGUAAACUCUAACUCCGUCUUUCCCUACUAUAGGUCUUACUGUUGUUUAUCUAUAUCUAUUCUCUUAUAAUAAUAGUUGCAUGUGUUUUCUUAUUAGAUUCUAGUAAUUCCAUUAGUAGUUUGUAGAGUAGUUAGAAGCAAACAACAGUCCCACCAAAGCUGCUAUUCUAUUAUCUAUGUUGUGUUGCCGGUGUCUAAGUCAGAAAUACAGAAUAGUCUCCUGGGGUGCUUCUUCAAAUAGAGUAUCUGGGGCAAGUGCUUGUGCGCCGGGCUUACGCUUUGACUUCUCCUUUUCUUUUGCACCGGGCAACGGGCAAUAAUAUGGGUUUGGUGCUUGAGCGCAUCUUUCUCAUAUCGAUCAAGGCUUUUCUUGAGUUUUGAAUGGCGACUACAAGAUCUGCAUUAAGGAUCAGCAAUAGGGCGAGCGAGAGAGAAAGUGCAUUCUAGAGCGUUAAGUAUUGCCUACCCCAAUCGCUCUGUUCUCGUUUAAUGUUCUGUUCGAUAGGACUAAAAGGCACCCUAGGCAUUGAAGAAAGAAAAGAUGGCUUUGAAACUUAUACAGAUGGGAGUGAGCCUGUCUUUCAGGACUUGAAAAACGGAUAUUCCCCACCUAUGCCUUCGUUCUGUAACACCUCAUUACAUUACUUUAUCUUAUAUUAAACUAUUUAUUACUGAGCUCUAGAUCAUACCUAUUAUUCUCUGACUUAUACUUCGCUUGAAACCAAUUAUUAGAUAUUAUAUGAAAAUGACCGUUAUUCUCUUAUAUAUCAAUUACGAUUAUUCUUUUCUUUAAGUUAACAUAGCAUUCAUAUUCAUUGUAUCCACGUCAUCAGUAUAUGAGCUAUCGGUAACUCAUUCAGAAAGUGGACCAACCCAUUAUUCAAGUGGGGGUGAACCAUUCCACUCUUAAGGUAGUUAAGCGCAUUCUCAAAUACACGUAAUGAAAGCAGAGGAAACAAUUGACUUCAAACCGGCACCAGAGCUAUCAAGGGAAAUAGAAAACGACUACCUUUUUUAGAGCAAGAGAAUACCUUUUCCAUUUUGGAAACGAAAACUCCUAGCGCAGUUUCUUAUUCUUUACUUGGAGCUGCCCUGCCCCUCGACCUUAGUAUCAAUACAUAGUAAUCAAUACAUCAAUACAUAGUAAUCAAUACAUAGUUAGUAGGAGAGGCAGCCUUGGAGGCGAAUUACAGAACUCAAAAAUGAGGAGUAGACAAGCGAGACAUAGAAUAAGGCGUGUGUACUGCUGGGCAAAAUGCACUAAAAAGUCAGAUUACUACCCGGCCAAGCAACUCAAAAGAUGGAACCGAAACCUCUAACCUCAAUUCUGUAACUUAUGCCUUAGCGCCUCGCUUGUCCUAGGUCGGGCCUGCCAACACAUAAGCUAGCCCGCUAAAACACAUGCUGCUUUAUAUACGAUUCCUCAGCUAAUAUAACUCUCUUUCUGUCGCUCCUCUGAACCAGUGUUAGAUUCUUAUUCCUCUGUUCGAAAGGCUAUAUGCUUUAGUCACAUUUACACGAAUCUCUCUUUAUUGGCUAAGUUCGAAUUGCCCUGAACCGAGCAGCAUACGAAUCAAUCUUCUUUAAGUUAACAGAAUAGCGCAUUUCAUAAUAUCAUAACCAAAGUCAGAAUCCAAAGGGUAGAGCGCCCGAUAGGAGCACUUGCUUUAUUCUCCCUAUUCAUAAAAAGAAAAGUGAAAGGAUCCGGUGUGGUGUUUGUGUUUAAAGAAAGAAAAUACGCUUAGAUGAAGGGGUGUUCGAGACAAACUAUGGAUUGAGGUCAGUCAUGUCAGUUUUCGAGUUCUAGUAGCGGUAGGCCGAUACAAUAGUGAAUAAGGCUGGGCCGGGCGUAAGAGUAAGACCGAGAAGCAGGCAAAGAAUGUAACGAGUGAGGGACAAGAAUGGAAUAGAGGUUUAGGAGCAAUAAGUAGAUGAGAUGAGCCUUAGUGAAAAUAGCCUGAGGUAGAUGAGCCGAAUACAGAAGAAAGAGAAUCCGCUGUAUAGGUUGGUGCUUACGCUCUAGGUCGAGUUCGGGUGCAGAAGAUGCUUUAGCUUGGUUAGUUGACAGAGCCUAGCCAGUAGUUUCUCAGUGGAAUACCGAUCCUGCUCGAGUUAUAGUUGCAUCCCCAGUAGCAUCUGUCUUUGUUGGGUCUGCAAGGUCAGCUGUUAGAGCCGAGCCAGUAGUUGGCGAUAGGCUAGUUUACUUACUUUGUUUACUGACUUGUUCGGGUGCCAGUCCAGUAGUAUACGCUUGGUCAUAACCUGUUCUGUGUGGAAUACCGAUCCUGCUCGAGUUAUAGUCUUCAGACCGGUAUGUUCUGGUUCUCAAGUAAGGGUAAGGCUAGGCCCUUAUAGUCAGUUUCGGGUGUGAGUUCAAAGUUGACAGUGAAAGUGUAAGUUGAGUCGGAUUAAGGUUCAGCGCUAAGUCCUUAUUGCAGGUCGAGUUAAGUCUCAAAGAGAGGAGGCGAGAGCACUAGGUGAAGUUGCUUAGCGGGUAAGGUCGGCUUGGUAGAAUCUUCAAUAAAGAGUUGUAGUUAAGAGCCAGACCAGAGUCGAGGUCGGUGCUAUAGUGGAAUACCGAGCGGAUAGCCCAUGUAGCGGUCAACUUCCCUUUCCCACUUUCAUUCUCUCUUUUAUAAGUCAGUUUGUGCAGAGGAAGCACCCAAAGAAGUAAGAAAACUGGGAUUACUCGUAGUGAGCGGAAGGAGUUGGCUAAUAGCACUUAGGUUGGUUCCUGGAUCUGGUAAAGAAAGGAAACAGUUAAAGGUUAAGGCUAGGGAAGGAAAGAAAGUCACUGCUUUUAAGGGUUCCGGUUUUGGAAGGAAAGAAAGUCACUGCUUUUAAGGGUUCCGGUUUGGGAAGGAAAUCAAGCCUUAAUAAGUAAAGGAGAGUGGAGUCUACAGGUGAGGCAGCUGGGUUAAGGGCUGUUGCUAGGGAAAUCAAGAAAGACUCGUAUAAGUGCCAUGUGUUAAGCAAGUAGUAAAUUUAGUUAAGUUGACCAUAGCCCUAGGUAUAGGCGGGAAGCACAGAAAGAAAGGGUAUGCACCUAGCGUAUCAAAGAAAGAAAGAAAUCCGAGGAAGCGAGGGAAAGUCAAGUCCCAACAUAAGCUCCACACAGUGCCCUCAAUCAGGUCUUACAAUAGAAGCAAGAGAUGGAGUUUGAACAAGAGAAGAAGCCGGGGAAGAAAUAGUACUGAAGUGAAGAAUUGCGUCUCAAAAACACGGGUUUUCAUCAAUUGAGCAACUGGGCAAGUGCCCUUAAUAGUUAUAUGUGCAAUAUGAGAUAUGGAAAGAAAGUAUGUGCAAUAUGAAUGAAUUCGGUGCGCCAAGCAUAGGUAAAAGAAAGGCAUAGGUAAAAGAAAGAGACAAUCCCUCACACCCCUUAUAGUAGUGGUAAAAGACAAAGCAAAAAGAAGUAAGACCGAGGAAAAAACGAAAUAGCAGUUAGAGAAGCUCCGUAUUAAGAAGAGGGCAAAGUCGGCAACUAGGUUGAUUCUGUGACUACUGAGUUUCACUCUAACCCUUGAGUUCACCCCGAGCCGAGUUUCGUGCAUUAGUAGUGGCGAGUGCCCCGAGUGGAAUCUGGUUUCAUAUAUAAAGAAGAGAUAUUUGGAUAGCUAAUUUCUUAUAAGGAGUUUCUACUGUGUAGGUACAUGAGAAAUUGAAGUUUUCUUUCGGGAACUAGCAGCCCUGCCGUUCCUAUCGCUCGCUACCUAGCCUUGAUCGGCUUGGCUUGGUCAAGUGUCUUGGCUCUGUUCUUUGAUUGUUCUUUCUCAUUUCUUGGAUUUGAUGGGUUUUCUGGUUUCUUUCCCUAGUGUAGUCCGGUUUCUUUAAUAAUAACAUAUUUGUGAUAGCGCCAAGUAACGACUUAAGAAGAUCUUUCGAAACUCAUCCUUAAUAUUAAUAAGAAGAUCUUUCUCAACGCUAUUAUCCUUAAUAAUAAGAGAGAUUUGGAUAGUUAUUAAUAAGAAGAGAUAGAAUUAAGGAGGAGACAUGCGGACUGAGGUUAUCGAUUGUAUCAUUGCUUAACACAAGCACCCGAUCCUUACCCUUACUAUAGAACCAGAACAGAGGACUACCAGUACUAUCUUCUUACCUGAACCCAGCCAGCUAUCCGGUCCUUGCACAGCUACCUCAGUCUACUAAUACAGAUGCAACUGGGGAUUCCACUUGAACAAGAACAUAGGUACCCGACCUAAACUAUCACAGCUGUUGACUUGCGCACUGCUUCAGUUCCUUUACUUCCAUCUUGAGAUCCAGCGCCAUCUUUAUCUAAGUUUCACAUAGGGAUAGGGUAAACUCGUACACGCGCGCACAAGCACUUAUAUAACUCGUAUGGAAUCUGGAACUUCAUUCACUUAUUCUUCCCUACUAUGCAAUGAUUACUUAAAGUCAAGUAAGGAUAAGACUGGAAAGAAUCCAUGUAUUAGCUCGAAAUACAAGAUUCUAGGCGGAACUCCCUAUGUUGGUAACCGAAAACUUGUUAUUCCGAGUUAUUCCGAAGUACUAAUUGAGCCUAUGUCAACUAAUACAGAUGAAACUGGAAACUUACUAUGAGGGCCACUAACUAAUGCUUUUGUAUCUGAUUCCAGAAUUACUGUAUCGUUUCUAUACUCAACACCGGAAGUAUAAGUAGGAAUUUAGGAUUACCCCGCUUGCAGCCUCUCCUUACUUACCUAGCUCUAGCUGAAGCCUGUUAUUCAGGUGGGGCAAUUACUAUAGUGACACUUGUAUAACUUGUUCAAUUCUGACCUUUGAGUAAACCCAUCCCCUGUUACGCUUGGCUCUUACUUGCAACAAGAACUCCCCUUUCUGACCCGAUUGCUGCUUACUUGAGAACUGCUUACUUGAGAACUGCUGCCGAUUCUUCUUUCUGUUAGGCCUGUACCUGCUCCUUUGGCAUCAAAGCCAGUGGACUACUUCUAACUGCUUCCCGACUUACUAUAAGGGCCUCGAACACCUGAUUUAGACUGCUUCUCUGACCUAUGGCUACUGGACCUCUGGCUACAACUACUUAUGCAACUAUUCGUAUACUUGUUUGGUAUUCAACUCUAACUGCAGCUGACACUUGAACAGGAACUAGGGAUUCAGCUACCCAAAGAGACUCUAUUGAAACACACUGAUAUGCUAUCUUUAUCUUUUAAAGAAGAAGAAACUCGGGAUGAGACUCACUACUACUGAUUCUACUACUCCACUACUUGAACUACUACUUUAAGAAGGGGCAAUCCUUAAUUGCAUCAACCUUGCCCACCUAUCAUAUGGCAACAAACACAGAGGAACCUCGGUAUUCCACUCCAACUCAGGAUGCCACAGAGCCUGGACCCGGUGCUCUAGAAUCAAAAGAAAUAGUACACGCAAAUGGAAGUGGAUAAUUACCUGGAAAGCUGGGUUAAGAAAAUCAUCAAGUACGGGCAAGAUAUCGUGGAGAAGGUCCUGCUCCUGACCAAGUCCUGUUUUCGGUCCUUUCUUCGGCUUCAACUUAAGGCCAGCAUCAGAUGCCACUAAGCUUUGGAGCCUACUGUUACAUAGUUGUUCUAUACAACCCUAAGCCUCACUUUGCUAACUCAACACCUCACUUGUUCUUUCAAUACCGAGUUCCUGCUCAGCCACCCCUAUAGGGUUAAGCUUCAAACUUAUGCUUGUUAGCCGCAUCCUAAUGGCUUCUUCUUGAAAACGUACACUCACCUCUUGAAGCCUUGCUUACUCGGCUACAUAUCCUUUCUUAUGGAAUUCCACUCAUUAGUCUAAGAAUGGAAUGAACUAACCAACCCCUAGUUCUCCCAGGCAAUAAAGAGAGAAUCAGACUAGGACCCAUAAGGCUGUUACUGCUCCCUAUACGACUGAAAUAAGAGCAUAAGAAUCCACUAGAAGCCUAUAUACCCGACCACCGCUAAGCCUGCCCUGCUUGAUCUCGGUCUACCGCUCCCUGUCUAAAGUCUGAUACUUGAAACACUUGACUGCGAUUCUUGUAUUCGAAUUUGGCUCUGCCUUUCCCGGCUUUCAACCUAUAACUAAUGCUUCUCAUAAUAGAGCUAGGGAUAAGGAGUUUCAACUACCAGCUAUAAGAAUUGGCUACUUGCGGAUAAUAAUGAAACCAGAGCGGGAGAACUAAACCGGGAUAGGAGCAAGAGGUGUAGUUAGGCUAAAUUAGGACUCGCCAAGCAACUAAGGAAGGUAGAAAACAAAAGAAUCCAACCUACUACU